GAGAGGGCAGGAAUUUGGUUCAGUUUUACUGUCCUAAAUGGCUUCUUUGGCCUCCUUUUGCAUUGUUGUGGACCUACACUUGUUUUCUGACUGCUGAGCUUCUUUUGCCAUGGUUUCUUGUGCAAUGAUCAUUGAGACACGUUUCUUAGAUCCCUUUUGGCUUGAUUCAACAUGUUUCCGAGACUAGUCAAUGGAGAGUAACUUAUACUAGUAACAUACACGUUAUCCUAGACUAUGUUACUAUCUCCAUAGUGGGUAGGAACAUAUGUGUAGUGUCACGCACAGCUUCAUUUCUUAGGUUAUAGACUCAUUUUGUCUUGGUAUGUGUGAUGUUACUCAUAGAAUGAGUAACUAGCUAAGUUACUCAAUGUACCCCUCUCAUUAACUCAUUGUCACAUAGGCAAAUUUGCUGACUUGGACUCUAUGUUACUUUUGAAGUUACCCCACUGUGGUCAGUCUGAAGACUCCAUGCUACAAUACGAGACGUGUAUUUUGGAUUUUCACUAUUUUUUGUUUUAGGCCCCAAUCUAAUGUCCCCCACAACCAUGAAAUCCUCAACUCUCGACUUUGGCUUCCAGUUUGGGCAAUGAUCAUUGAGACAUGCUUCUUAUAUCCCUUUUGGCUUGAUUCAACAUGUUUUUGAAGACUUCAUGCUACGACAACACUAUGAGGACGUGUAUUUUGGAUUUUCACUAUUUUUGUUUAGGCCCCAGUCUAAUGUCCUCCACAAUCAUGAAAUCCUCAACUCUCAACCUUAGUGUUAUACUUCAAAUGCAAUGCUACUGUAUAAGCUUUUGCAUUUGAGGUGUGUGUUCCUACUGGUCUAGAUUUCUUUGCUUUGUAAGUCCGUUGAAUAUAUUCGCUCGUUGGUCUAUGCAAUAUAUACAAGUUGUAUCCAUAAUAACAACAAUAACAUUUUGUCUUCCGUUUUCAUGAUGUAGUAGUGAUAAGCAUGCAAUUUAUAUGUUUACAGCUACAGGGAAAGUAACUACAAAAGUUGACGUUUAUGCAUAUGGUGUCAUACUAAUGGAGAUGAUUACUGGAAGGAAAGUACUUGACGACUCAUUACCUGAUGACGAAACACAUCUUGUAACAAUCUUCCGAAGAAAUAUGCUUGACAAAGAAAAGUUCAGAAAGUUUGUGGACCCUACACUAGAACUCGGUGCUGAAGCUUGGAAGAGCCUGCUGGAGGUAGCUGAUCUUGCCCGGCAUUGCACAGCACGAGAACAAAACCAGAGGCCCGACAUGUGUCACUGUGUGAACCGACUUUCCAGUUUGCUCGAUGAGUGGAAGCCUACAGAAGUUGACGAUGAUGACGAGUGCGAGACAAGUGAGAUGCAUCUCAACCAGCAACUUGAGAAAUGGAGGUGUGAUGAUUUUACCAUAUCAGAUUCAGAUACAUUCAGCACAUUCAAUAUGUAAGGAAGUAAAACUGAAAGUUUGCAACCUACCCUAUGAUGUCAUGUAUAAACGGGGAAACACAGACUACCGCAUCAAACGGGCUAUCAUUAGCUCUUGCAAUCGCCGACUGCAGCGGAGGUCGACAUUCCAGAUGCUCUAAUUAGCCCAUUGAGCAGCAACUGAGAACCCGGUAGCUUGAAUAUCAGCGUGUCACCCUGCCUGCUUUGGUGAGCGCUAAAGCCAAGCAUAGCUCUGAAGUUUGGUACUUUUACGAGUUGUUGAUGUGUCUAUAGCUUGUUCACUCUAUAUGGCGCGUAGUGUAGUAACAUUGAACAGCCGAUCCAUUUGUUCUUGGAUUGUCUAGAGAAGGAAAAGGGAAGAAAGAUGAAGCAAGCUUGCAUAAGUUUACGGCAGAGGCGUUUUCUAGGAUGUAGAACAGUUGUUUUGUGAACUACCAAGCACGAGGAAUCCUUUUUGCGUGCGAAAAUGCAAAAUGGAGGCCGAACAACAUAUAGGCCUUAAUUUUUAAAAAUACUCUUUUCACAGAUUUUGUAAAAAUUGCACAUACCUAGAGGCAAAAUGUACAUGUGUAUUAGUCUUCAAGAUGAAAUACAUUAAAAUGAGAGCUACACAAAGAAAAAGCCAAUUAUGUGCCUUUUUAGCACAUGUAAGUUCAUUAUUAUUUUUUGUGCAGCUUAGAAUUCAAGGUAUUUUUUAUCAUGAAAUUUUAUACACAUAACAUUACAUCCUUUUAUACAUGUGUAUUUUUCUCGGAGUUUUUUGAAACCGAAAAGUUCAAAUUUUGAAUUUUUUUCUAAAUUAAGACCUUCAUGGAGCUUGGCCUCCAAAACGCACUACUCUUGCAUGGCAUUUGUAAUUGUGUGUACGCGGCUGAAAUUUGUGUGCUUCCGUCAUCCCGUGCAGUUUUUUUGCACCCUGCCCUCGCUGCCUUGGGUUUGAUGAGUCGGUGGCUAUCAUAUUGUUUGUUAGAGCACCCCCCCCCNNNNNNNNNNNNNNNNNNNNNNNNNNNNNNNNNNNNNNNNNNNNNNNNNNNNNNNNNNNNNNNNNNNNNNNNNNNNNNNNNNNNNNNNNNNNNNNNNNNNNNNNNNNNNNNNNNNNNNNNNNNNNNNNNNNNNNNNNNNNNNNNNNNNNNNNNNNNNNNNNNNNNNNNNNNNNNNNNNNNNNNNNNNNNNNNNNNNNNNNNNNNNNNNNNNNNNNNNNNNNNNNNNNNNNNNNNNNNNNNNNNNNNNNNNNNNNNNNNNNNNNNNNNNNNNNNNNNNNNNNNNNNNNNNNNCCCCCCAACAGCCCUCUCGGGGCGCCUUUUUUAGCGGCGGCGGUGCAAAAUUGGUCCACUCGUGUUCUCAACUCUUCGUUUAGCGUCGGUUUGAGUCAAAAUAACAGCCGGCGAAACCGAGCCGAACCCACCCCCCUAGAGGGCGCCUGGGAGCGCCGGUAGAAGCGAAAAGCCAGGCGGGCCCGCUCUGUCAGCGGCGGCCGAGCCAUUCCCGUCGUUUUCUCCCCCUUCCUCCUCCCUCUCCCUUCAUUUCCCCGCCCCCUCCCGCCAUUCUUCUCCCCUCCUGCCAUUCGACAGCCAUGCCGCCAAAGAAGUACACCUUCCCUCGCCCCGCCAACGUUGUCGAUUCCAGCCAGCCGAAGCAGAGGAAGUCGAGGAAGCCGAUGCCUAGGCCGACGGGCGUUUCGGACGCCGAAUGGGGGACGUAUGUCCAGCGCCGGGAGGCGGUCACAACAGACUGGCGGAGGAGGCUCGAUGCCAAGAAGACCAGGGACGCGACUGAGGCAGCGGCGGCCGUGGUUGAUGAGGAAGAGGUGUCCCGUGCGGGGAUGAUGAAUAUGCGUGGCCGCAACCCACAGGCCGCAUGUAGGGGUCGCCAGGGUGUUCCCUCGGCCACCAUCUCGCCGACGAUGCCGCCCUGGGGGUACGUGCCCUCGCCUGGCUACUACGAUGGCGACGCGCAUGGCGGCUUUAAUCCCAACACCACCUUCCCGUAUGGCACGCCCCAACGUUCCUCACCCACCGGUUUCGACCACGACCCGCGCACUCCCUCACCCGCAUUCAGCGUCGGCCUCAACACCUAGUAUAGCUACUCACCGUCGGCGUACUCGUGAGCAGCCUCACCUGCGCCGUCCAUGCGCCGUGGUGUCCUUCCAUUCGUGCCCACUUCGUCGCUGCAGUUUAACUACGCCGAUGCCGGCAUGGACGAGAUCAUCACGAGUGGCUCCGUCGCCGCCGCGUCGCACCCGGAGUUCGGCGUGCACAAUGAAAUAAUGGACAUCGCUGACGACAUUGACGAUAAGCUCGACGACGCCGAGGAGGAGGAGGGGGAGGAAGAGGCGGUGGAGGUGGAACGGAACAAGUGCCGCAGAAGAAGGGAAGGAAGAGAAAGCGGGCGGCAAACGCCAAGCCAGCCGAACCACGCGUCAAGUAGACAUCAAAGCAAGACGAGUGCCUUGCGGAAGCGUGGAAGACCGUGAGCAUCGACCCGAUCACUGGCGCGAAUCAGAACACCGACACGUACUCGGGGAGAAUCGAAACGUCGUUCGACGAACGCAAGCUUGUCGACCCCGACUUCGCCAACAUCCACAUGGACAACGGCGAGAAGGCCACGGUGAACCCCUGGUCGACGAUCCAAACGGCCUACAACAAGUGGCAUGGCAUCGUUGAGGAGGUCGCUACUCGCCCGAAAAGCGGUGCCAAUGUCGAGGGUGAGGUAUGGCCAAAUUUCAUCGGCCCUAGUUCGUCACGUCGCCGUGUACUUUGCUGACAUGUUUUGUCCGCGGUUUUGUGCAAAUGAUUCAGAUGUUCGCCAUGUAUCGAACCGAUAACGAGGACAAAGAGUGCAGUUUCUUUCACGCGUUCUCCAGGUCGACUCGUGCGAGAAGUGGAGAGAAGUUCGGCUCGCUCUCGACAAGGCCAAGGAGACCUACAACCCGGACGCGCCUUCCGUGACUGUGGUAGAAGGGCGCCCAGAUGGCACCAAAAAAGCCAAGGCAAUGAGGGACGUGGCGCCCGCUGCCCAAUGGCUGCAGGCUUCGAUCGAGCAAUGCAUCGCCGACGUCAAAAUCAGCGCUACCAGGAGAGAGGAGAAAUCCGACGUGUGGUGGUCGGCGUUGAUGAUCAACAUCGUUGCGAAGAAGAGGAACACCGACCUGGAGUUCUUCAUCGUUGCGAAUAAGAGGAACACCGACCUGGAGUUCUUUAUGGGGAGGGACACGUCGACGAUGGACGAGAAGGUGAAGGCGUGGUACAUAGUGCAGUGCGACCUCAUCUUAAGCCAGGUACCAACACCGACGGCGACCACAACGGCGCCCAGCCCGAACGCAGAAACCACGCCGACCACGAGCCUGACUACACCAAUGACGAACAACCCGACAACUCCGACGAUGAGCCCGACUACGUUGACGACGAGCCCGACGAGUCUCCCGGCAGAGGAGCCGCACCACGCCGAGCCGACCGUUUGAUCCUUUUUAUCCUUUCCUUUUGAUCGCCAAACUAUUGGUGUGUUUGGUUGCCGAACUAUGGCAUGCUGAUCGCUGACUUGUGGCAUGAUGAUUGCCGAACUCGUGGCCUCUCCUAGGCAGCAGGAAAGAAGAAUUUGAAAACAUUGGCAUCUAGGGGCCGAAACCUGGGGGCGCGGCUGGAAACUCGCUCGCCCCCAGGGCGAAAAUAGCGCCGGUGCAACGCCAAAAAGGCUAUCGCCGGGGUACCCUGGGAGCCAAACGGUUGGAGAUGCUGUUAGGCAUUAGAUCGCCUAGGGGCCAAAUCAUGUCGUGCCCAUGGAGUCCCCAAUGUUAAAUAAAACAUGAAGAUCAAUGUUACUUUGAAGCAAUUUAGUGUGCAACAAAGAAAAGAUAAUGACAUCUCUCUUUCUUUUGCCUUAUUUUUCUUAUUCUUCUUUUACACCUACUAGCAAAAAAGACUGUGCGUUGCAACGAGAGAAAAAUAUAGUACAUGUCUAAUCAUGAGUCAUGACCUCAAUAGGUCCUCGUUCUUUAUUUAAACAACCCAUCCCGAAGUGGUCCUAAACCUAGGGCACCUGACAUAAGGGAGACCUGCCUCAACCUUGACUAGGGCCAACCAUGCUCAAGGAUAUCAGGGAACCCUACGGAGGCGAAGGCAAUGAGCGUGUUCCCCAAGACAAAGAGCGACAUCCAAAUCGAUCCUACCUACCCCAUUUGUAAGCCCUACACCUCUCGUGGGUAUAUAAAGGGAGGAUUAGGUCCUCAUUAGGGAUCCUGUAACGCCCAAGAUGCGAUCCUAUUCUUAUUUUUUGCACGAGGGCCUCGACACGGAUAUAAGCGCAUCUUGUCGUUUUGCAAGAAUGGAUAUCAUUACAAGUACAUGUACUGAAGAGAUGAGUAUAUGAAAUUGGCUUACACUCGCCACAAGCUACAUCAGAGUCACAUCAAUACAACAACAUAAUCAAUCAUCAUGAAGAAGAGCAAGGUACGACUACAAACGAAAACAAACAACAAAAGAACGACGUCCAUCCUUUCUAACCCAGGCCGCCGGCCUGGAACCCAUCCUAGAUCGAUGAAGAAGAAGAAACUCCAAAAGCACAAUCAUCGCGCUCACGUCAAAGUAACUCUUUAGAUGCACCUGCAACUCGUGUUGUAAUAAUCUGUUAGCCACAGGGACUCAACAAUCUCAUUUCCAAAGGUAUCAAGACUAGCAAAGCUUAAUGGGUGAGGUAUGGUUAAGUGGUGAGGCUACAACAAGCGACUAAGCAUUUAUUUGAGGUGGCUAACUUACGAGUACAAGAAUAAAAGAGGGGGAUGAUCUACACAUAGCGGACAUGAACUAAUAAUGAUCAAAAGAAUGAUCCUGAACACCUACUUACAUCAGACAUAACCCCACCGUGUCCUCGAUCGGAGAAGGAGCUCAUGAAAGAGACAGUCACGGUACGCACUCAGUUGGCAAGUUUUAAAUAAGUUUACUUCAAGGUUUCUAGAACCGGAUGUUAAACAAAGUUUCCAAGUUGCCACAUAAUCGCGGGCACGACUUUCCGAAAGAUUUAACCCUGCACGGGUGCUCCAACUAGUCCAUCACAACUACCACACGCUGCACGGAAUAACCUCGAUCAGGGAAACCCAUGAUCUCCUCAGGUUCCUAUUGGAAAACAUCAACCUCGAGAUAUCCCAAAGCAUCCUCGGAAUCCCUCGCACAAGACGAUCGAAAAAGGUAAAACAAGUCCAGCAAGGCCACCCGACGUGCCGACAAUCCCGAUAGGAGCCGCGUAUCUCGUUCUCAGGGCACACCAGAUAAGCUAUGGUUACCACGCCAGACGCCGAGUUGCCCCGGGUAGCGUUAAUAAGCUGCUCUGUUUGGAACCAACACCAUUAGCACUGGCCCCCCUGUAUUAUGUUGAAUUACUCCUCGGGUUCAUGACGCCCUAUGUUUUCAGUAUUAACAAAAUUAUUAUGUUCGGCAAAUAUAGUACCAAUGUUGGGCCUUGCCAGACCAGCUUUAUCCCAAAACGAGAAUCUAGGGGGUCCCCAUAAUAACUCCAAGCAUGUUAGGAGCGCUCAUUUAUGGAACAUAACACCGAUAGCUGAAACUAAGGUGGCAAAGGUGGAACAAAACACCAGGCUAGAAGGCCAAGCCUUCCACCUUUUACCAAGUAUAUAUGUGCAUUAAAUUAAGUAGCAUUUAAUAAAGUGAUAUAAAAAGGAACCCAUGUUAACACAUGGAGGCAACUACACCUGCAACUAGCAACUUUAACACAUGGUUAAGCAAAGCAGUAACAUAGCCAAUCAGUGGUUUGCAAGGUUGUAGAAAGGUUGAAGGUUUUCAUGGCAAUGUUGGGAGGCUGAUAUUUAAAGGUGGUAGGCAGCGAGACAUAACGAUAGAAACGAAACAACUAGCAUGACAAUGAUAGUAAUGGUAUCUAGGGAAAUGAUCAUCUUGCCUGUGAUCCCGCUUGGAAGAAGAACGACUCCAUGAAGCAGACGAACCGACGUAGUCGAGCGGAUCCUCACAUUCCGACAAAGUUUCCACAUAACCGCGGGCACGACUUUCCGAAACAUUUAACCCUGCAGGGGUGCUCCAACUAGUCCAUCACAAACUACCACACGCUGUGACGGAAUAACGUCGAUCAGGGAAACCCGUGAUCUCCUCGGGUUCCUGUUGGAAAACCUCAACCUCGAGAUAGCCCAAAGCAUCCUCGGAAUCCCUCUCAGAAGACGCUCGAAAAAGGUAAAACAAGUCCAGCAAGGCCGCCCGACGUGCCGACAAUCCCGAUAGGAUCCGCAUAUCUCGUUCUCAGGGUACACCAGAUGAACUAUGGUUACCACGCCAGACACCGAGUUGCCCCGGGUAGAGUUAAUAAGCUGCUCUGUUUGGGACCAACACAAUCAGCACCGCCCCCCUGUAUUAUGUCGAAUUACUCCUAGGGUUCAUGACACCCUAUGUUUUCAGUAUUAACAGAAUUAUUAUGUUGGGCAAAUAUAGUACCAAUGUUGGGCCUUGACAGAUGAGCUUAAUCCCAAAACGAGAAUCUAGGGGGUCCCCAUAACAACCCCAAGCAUGUUAGGAGUGCCCAUUUAUGGAACAUAACACCGAUAGCCGAAACUAAGGCGACAAAGGUGGAACAAAACACCAGGCUAGAAGGCCAAGCCUUCCACCUUUUACCAAGUAUAUAGGUGCGUUAAAUUAAAUAACAUUUAAUAGGGUGAUAUAACAAGGAACCCAUGUUAACACAUGGAAGCAAGUGCACCUGCAACUAGCAACUCUAACACAUGGUUAAGAAAGCGGUAACAUAGCCUAUCAGUGGUUUGCUAGGUUGUAGAAAGGUUGAAGGUUUUCAUGGUAAUGUUGGGAGGCUGAUAUUUAAUAGGUGAUAGGCAGCGAGACAUAAUGAUAGAAAUGAAACAACUAGCAUGGCAAUGAUAGUAAUGGUAUCUAGGGAAAUGAUCAUCUUGCCUGUGACCUCGCUUGGAAGAAGAACGACUCCGUGAAGCAGACGAACUGACGUAGUCGAACGGAUUCUCACAUUCCGACACGCUUGCGGAACUCUAUCGAGAUGAAGCAAACGGAAUCAAGAAUCAACACACGAUAUUCACCACAACACAUGCAUGACAUGAUGCAGUUCACAUAUGAUGCAUGAUGAGUUCCAAAUAUUCAAGGCAGGGCAUGGCAAUUCACAUAGUCAAACGCUACACAUUAAGUGAAGUUGUGAAGCUCAAUAUACAACUAGUUGCAUAUUGACGAAACUCCACAUUCAAAUAUUUAGUUCACUCCCGAUUAGGUACACGACAUUAUUAAAUAUCGUUUAAACAUGGCACGAGGUGAAGCACAAUUAAACAUAUCUAUCUAGGCAUUUUAAAUGAGGCUGGAAACGACAUAUAGCGUCUCCGAACUAACCCCACAUGUUAACUUUGUAAUCUAUGCAUAUUUGUCGUAAUCACAUUUUAUGUUUGUUAAACGGAAAAACAAACUGGUUCACGUGAUUCUACUCGUCGUUCUAGUCCAUUUACAUAUAUGGUCAUCUCCAACGGAGCUACGAUUAAUUAACUACGACCUAAACCGUUUCUAACACGUCGACACAAAAACCGAUGCAAACAACACACUAAACAACUUUAAAUAUGCAUGGGAGCUGGAAAAUAUUAAUCUACACGAAAUUCUACAUGUUCUACAUAUAUAACUCGUCGCGAUCCGACGCAAGGUUUAAAAGCUACGCGCGUUUUAAAAAUGCAUUUUUCUGAAAAAGAAUUAAAUCGCAGGUUAAAAGAAAAAAACUACUCGGGCCGAAUCUGAUGGGCGCUCGAUAGUUAAACUACGCACGGGCGUGGAAUAGGCGGGGUUGGCAGGAGGGCUCACCUCGGGGGCUAGGCCCAGCUGAAGAGGAGGCAGGCCGGCUGGGCGUUGGAGAAGCUGAUGCUCGGCCGGCUAGAGGCCCAUCUCGCCGGCUGCACACAGCUGGGCCGGGGCGAGGUAGCUAGGCCGGCUGCUGGCCCAUGCGGGGCUGUCCCGGAUCUCCAGGACGAGGCCAUGGCGAGGAGAGGCGGUGAGCUGCAGGUCCAGUGGCGGGAUGCGAUCGAUGGGACUCUGGACCGGCGGGGAGGGCCGCAGGGACGAGCCGACGUCGGUCAACGUAGUGGGUGGAUCCACAUCCGAUCUGGAUCGAAGUUACGGGCGACAGGGGCGAUGGAGUGCGUCAGGCGAGGCAGGCUUGGGGCUGCCGAGGCUUCGGUCGGCGGGAGCUGGGUGCGGCGGCAGCAGGGUCCGACAACGGAGGCUCCGUCGACCGGCUGGCGGGGUUGUCGGUGCCAAUGACGACGACUCAAGGGCGGCUGGCGCAGGAGCUCGCUCGAGGGCUCCUCCCGUCGGGAGCUCGGGCAAAGCCUGGUGCUGCAGGGGAAGUCUGAUCCGGGCCUGGGGAGAGCCGAAUCUGGGCCUGGCGGGCCCGCUCGAGGAGAGAGGAUGUGCUAUGGGUGGCGGCUGGCUCUGGGGGGCACGGAAUACGAGGAGAAGGUCUAGGGUUUGGUCCGAAUUUAGGUAGGGAGGUUGUAUAAAUAGGCAUGGGGCUAGGGUUAGUGCUUUUCGACGUUUUCGGACCCUAUGAUCUCGAUCGGACGGCUCCGGUUUCUCCCUAGGAUUGGAUAGGCUAGUGGGCUGUGUAGAAUAGGCUAAGUGGGGAAGAGUGGGAGUUUUUGCGGCCCGACACGAGAUUUUAAACACCGAAAACUGUGCGUCGAUAAACCGAUGAUGGUGCCGCUACGGUCGACCGUUCGGGUAUCAAACGGACUCCGAUUGCGAUGAAAAUUGACAGGCGACCUACCUACACUAUAUUAAGACCGCACGCCAAGGUUCAACCCAAUCCGAGAAUAUUUUAUACAAACUUUUGAAAACAAUAUUUUAACGAUGUCGCGGGCGUGGGCGUGUGUGCUCGGGCUCAAAAUAGAUAACGACGAACACGGAGAGAACUGACAACUACUAACGGAUGCAGGUUUUGAAAACUGGUGGCAACGGAGUGGCGAUGCAAUGUAGAUGAUGCGCAUGAUGUGAUGAUGCAUGCGACAACGAGACGAAUCACACGACGAGAACGGUAUAACAGGGGAAUCUUCUAGAGCAUCGGUCUCGGGCAGUCACAGAUCCAAUAUGAAACUCAACUCUCGAUAGAUAUCUCAAACACCACUAUAAUCCUUUGUGCGAGGACCAUGAAUAACGAGACAAAACAUGAUGUAGUGUAUUACUCUUAGGAAGCCCAAACUUGGGUAAAUUGUGUGCAGACUCCAUCCCGAUAAUUCCGGUCUCGUCAUGAACCCUAGCGAGGGAUCUCAUGGGAAAUUGCUUCAUCAGUUGGCGCGUCACGCACGAGCGACGUUGACCGAGAACGAACUCGACACGAAUAAAAUUUAGAGGGUGGCGAUGGUUCGCCAGGCCAUCACCUCAUGAUGCGCUCUUUUGAUUUGGUCGCUGAUGGAUCAGGGUGAUUCCUUGACAUCUCGCCUCCGGGCUUCGCCACACGCAUCUAUAAUAGUCAAGGGUAGGCCUACACUACUAGGAAAAUGGCUAUAGAUGAUAUAGACACUAAUGGCGCACCAGACAAGUAGUGCGCCACUACUAUAUAGCAAUGGCGCACCAUGUGCAGGUGUGCCAUUAGUGUGAUGGAUACUAAUGGCGCACCACUCACCCAGUGCGCCACUACUAUAUUUUUUUUUUGCAAAACUACUAAUGGCGCACCACCAGCUGGUGCGCCAUUAGUAACCAGGGUUACUAAUGGCGCAUUUGUAGGUGGUGCGCCACUACUAUAUAUAUAUUUUAGUUUUUUGCAAAACUACUNCGCACCCUCCCAUGUCUCCUCGCUCGGUUCCCCCGAACGGAAUCGGUCGAGCGCACCACCCACCCCUUCCCUCCACCCGAGCACCAUUGCUAUCCAAAAAAAAUUACUAAUGACGCACCUUUUUGAAAUGCGUCAUUGCUAUAUAUAAAAAAAGAUUACUAAUGGCGCACUGCAUGGGGAUGCGCCAUUGCUAUAAAAAAAAAUCUCAUGGCGCACCGCUCGGGGGUGCGCCAUUGCUAACCGGUUCUACUGCUUGUGUGGUUGGACGCGUGCGUUCCAUCCAUCGUCCUCAUUUCCCCACCCCACCCUCCCUAUCGGAUCCCGCUGCGUGCAGAUCCGCGAGCCCCGGCAAUGGCUUCCACGCCGACGGACGGAGCAGGCGAGCCGGUCGAGGCCAAGGGCAAGGGGAAGGAGGAGGGGGAGAAGAAGAAGGCGGGAGGACGGGUACUGGGGAGGAUCUGGCAUGGGAUCUUCGGCGGCCGUGAGGACUACGAGAAGCGCCUGCAGUACCUGUCCAAGGAGGAGGCCGCCGUGCACGCGCGUAUGUGCCGCCGGACCCAGUUCGCCCACCGCACCGUCCGUAACAUCAUCGUCCUCUACGUCGUCGCCGAGGUCACCAAAUCCCCUAACCAUCCCGCUCUUUGUUCCUUCUCCAAUUUACUACGCGUGUGGAUGCCAUAUCUGAGAUGAUCAUGGUCUGCUCUAGCGGCCCUGGAUGCGCCUAGGUUUGGAUUCGCGGUGAUUCCAUUUGUUCACGCUCGGAGAUUUGGCUGCCUCAAUGUUUUCUUGGUCGAACGUUGGGAGUUUUUCUUUUUCUUUCCGUGCUUCUAUGUGUGCGCGUACGCGGUCGUGUGCCAGGUUGUGAACAUGCGAUUGGGGUGUUAUAUUUUCCCCAGAGGUUAAAAGAAAACCAGCUUUGUUGGAACGAAGUAGACAGAGUGCUUUGAAAGUUCGGGAUCAUCCAUGCUAAUUAGACAUGGCAAGUUGGCCACAUGGGCGGAUACACUGCGUUUCUGGUUCAUAGAUUCUAGAGUAGAUCUUCUUACUGGGAAGAGAUGCACAUAUUUUGGCUAUGAUUGUUCUGUCAGAUAUUCAUGUUCACAAGUCAAUGCUAUUUGUUCAUUCCUUUCCUUUUGGAGUUAUUACUGUGUACACCUGCCCAAAAUGUUUAGUUGUGUGCUACUGUUUUCAAAGUAGAAAUUGAUGUAUGUUUAAAUAUAUGUUUAGAUUGUCAAUGCAUAAGAAACCAAUGUUGCGCAAUUUGUGUAUUUCCAGGAACAAUAUUUAUAAUCUAGUUGCAGUUUGGUGUAUUUGAGGUAUCAUUAGAACAACACUAAGUAGGAUUGCUAAGAGGGUUUAUUUUUUGAGUAUCUGCUGAAAAGGAAACACUGGUUUCCUCUUAUGCUGUGGUGAGAGUCUUUUGGGGAUUCACAGUUUGCCUCUGCGAUCCUCUAAUUAUGUGAAUUAUUGAGUGCUGCACUUCUAUGGGUUACAUUUAUAUUAGACUAGUAAUGGCUAUUUUUGUACUAAGUAUCCAACAAACAAUUUGUGCCUUCUUAAUAGUUGGUCCUAUUCUCAGGCUGUGGCUGUAGGUUAUGCCAUCGUGAUGACAAGAGACGAAGAUCUCACUUGGCAAAUGAGGGCAAUACGAGUGCUGCCUAUGUUUGUUUUGCCCGCCAUAUCGUCUGUGGUAUAUUCAGCAGUUGUAAACUUCACAAGGAUGCAUAAGUAUCUUGAAAUCACUGUCUGAAUUCAUAAUUAGUGGUCCACAUAUUUGAACUAUUUCUGCAUUUUUUUUAACCAUUCUUAGUGAGUCCUGCAUUGCUGCUGCCGUCCCAUCAUGUUUAUAUGUGUGUCGAAUGUGACUUCUGUUACUAUAUCUUUGGCUUUAAUAUUAUGAAGUAUGGAGCACUAUGUUUUUUUUCCUGCAAAUCAACAGUAUGUUGUUAUCUGGCACACUAUUGUACUAGUUCACAUAUGCUGGUGUGAACUGUAUUUUAAGUUUCUGGCUUGAAUUGAAAUAAUUAAACUAAUUUCCAUUCUUCUAAUUUCUGAUAAGUAUGCAAUACGAAACAAUUUACAAUAUAUGGAUGCACUUGCACACAUAGCAUUUUCACUUCUUUGCACAUUUUUUAGUUGUGGUGCUUCUAGUUUGACUCACUCAAGUCUUUUUUACUUUCACUUGUGUGUGAUCUUAUGAGAGGAGAUAGAUUUCCUUUAGUUUUACCUAUCUUCCCUAAAAUGGUUAUGCUUCUAGCAAAAAUAUUGUUGUGGGGUUUGACUUCAGGGUUUGUAAUAUGUAGCUUGUGUUACAGAAUUUAUGUUUAUGCUUUGUAAUACAAACUUUCAUUUUAGCUGGAAUGCUAUUCUUUUCUUUUGACGUUCUGAAAUUCGAUGGCAGUCAAAGAGUGUGUCGAAUUGCUUGGGACUUAGAUACGUGUAAAUAAUAUCUGCAUGAAAGCGGUUAUUGUUCCCCUAGAUCCUAUUUAUCCAAAUAGAAACAUGGUGUGAUUAAUUUAAGGGACACACACAUAAACAUCAUUCUGUUGAUGCACAUAAAUAUCUGUUUGCUACAAUGCACUACAUGGUCAACCAUCUAUCUAUAUUUUCAGCAUAUAUGUGUUCUGCAUAAUGACGGUAGUAUGAUUUUGUUUCUCAGGUACAUAAGCAACCUUGUCAUAUAGUAUACACCUUAUCGACCUACACCUCUCCAACACUAUGUAUUUCCUGCUGGAGGUGAUGGCUUAUACCUAGUCGUUGAUGGAAAUGGCAAGUUCAGAGAGGACAGUUCUGAGAAAUCUCUGAAUGUCCUUGCCCCUGCUAGUGGCAAUGACAAGAAGAGGGAAAACGGUAAGCGGCAAAAAGGUGUUGUCGCGACAGGCAAAACUAAUGUAGAAAGCGACAUAUUCAAGAUGGUGAAAAUGAUAAUUCAACGUCAAUAUGACCCUGUGAUACUUUUCAGCUUCUGUAAAAGAGAGUGUGAAUUUCUUGCCAUGCAGGUAAGUUCCUUUUCUAGAUUGAUGGUCGCUUUGCAGGAUAGUAAUAUUCUUUGGCUCAAGGAAGUAAAUGUCUUGGUUAAUUUUGACUGUCCUUCUUGUGUUGUAGAUGGCCAAGAUGGACUUGAAUGGGGUUGAUGAGAAAGUGAACAUUGAAACCAUUUUUUGGAGUGCCAUGGAUUUGCUUUCAGACGAUGACAAAAAGCUUCCCCAGGUUUCAAAUAUGCUUCCCUUAUUGAAACGCGGCAUUGGAGUGCAUCAUUCUGGUCUGUUACCCAUUUUAAAGGAAGUGAUUGAGAUACUUUUCCAAGAGGGCCUCAUCAAGGUUAGUAAAUGUUACUGAUCUCAUGGCUUCUUGGACUGACUGUUUCCUAGCCUCCAAACUAGCAUAUUGUUGGAAGUGUAGUAGUAUACCCUAGUGGCCUAUUACUUUGUCGUUGGAAGAAAAACAUUAUUAUUUGCUUCUCUCUUGAGCUGAAACUAUGCGCCUUAAAAGCUGAGGUUAUGGUUCUUGGUUUGAGUGUUUCACACCAAAGUAACAGAUGGUGGAUUCAGGUCAUUAGGAUAGUUGCUGCUGUAUUGCAGUUUCAUAGUCAAGAUGGAGUAUUUCUGUCUAAGUAAUCAUUUACUGUUUCUGUAUUUCUUAUGUUUCUUCUAGUUGUUUAAAUGCACAAUUUUCUUUUAUAUUGCUGGCUCUGAUAUUAUUAUAUUCUUGAUUAGUGCCUUUCAUUUGAGCUACAACAUGUUGCUGAAUCAACUACACUCUGAGGAUGGGAAGGUGGACAGUACACAGAUUCUGCACAAUCUCAAUGAAGGUUUGUUUUAUAUUUCUAGCUUUUCCUGCUCUGAUGUGCCCACAGUACACUUCCUAUAUGUCAUUCAUAAUAUUUUUCUAUACAGAUGAGUUACCUGGAUUUGAAGAAUCAUGGAAGGGCAAUGCUGGACAACACUUACCAGGCUCGAACCAGAAUGCGGGUAUAUCUAAUGGCGAUAACUCUGGUAAUCAAUAUUUAUCUGUUCUCACUUAUGCCAUGCCAUUGUUAACUUUGCCGUUCAACAUGAAUGCUAGGAACUGCACAUAGAUAUUGCAACAUUUCUUCCUAUGGUAGAAAAUAUAUCUGCUGCAUGUCAAAAUGGGCUAGAAAUCACAAAAAAAGUGCAUUAUUAAAGUCGCGAAAUUAGAAAGGGAUAGCUUCUUAGUGGGUCACCACUCACAAUCGCAGUUCUGGAGAAUAGCUGUUGGACAUGUUGAUUGCUCAUAUAUAAAGUAGGACUGAGAAGGGGAACAUAUGAAAUAUUUUUUGGUGCUUGUUCAACAAAUGUUAACAUGACCAGACAUGAAUUUGGAAAGUAGUUACUCCCUAGAGGCUGGAUGAUCUUCUACAGGAGUGAUUAAUUAGUUCUCUGCAGUCUCUGUAGCUUUGACUAUGAUUUACUGGAUUUUACUAUGGACUUAAAAGAUCAAGUGAAGUGUCAAAUAACCUGUUCACACUAUGCUAAUGUGGCUGUUGUAUUUGCAUCAAGUAUGAUGAACUGACUGAUGGGAAUUUCAGCACUUCUGUAUUCAACUCUGAAGCUAAAUGAGAAGAAAUGGCUACAUGGAGUAUGACAAUAUGUUAUGCUCGAACGCAACAAGAUAAUUAGAUGAAAAUACACUUGUGGAACUGUGAUAGUACAUAGGGCUAUUUUGUUCUGGUCUGCCUAUCAUUGCUACUACCAUUUAGUACGAGCAUCCAAAAUCAUGCGGUCCUAUGGUUUGAUCUUUAACAUGUGGAUUGGCUUGUAUCUGCUGAGACGAGUUAUAUACUACUUGAAACCCUUUUGCAUUAUGAAGUUUAACUUCAUCAGCUCCAGUUUCUUUGGGUAGCACAAUAUAGAUGUUUUUUGAAUAAUAAUUAGGUUCUCCAAUCUGAAUUAUAUGUAUCCUCUACUGUAGGGAGGCUUGUCUACUCUAGUGAAAUCUUUGAGAUCAAGGUGCAUAGAAUUGAUCACUGAAAUUGAGGCUCGUUUAGAUUUUGAAGACGAGAUGCCUCCAUUGGACCCUAUGAUGCUACUUUUGGUUGAGAUCAAGGUUCCGACACUUUUGACCUUUGAGCAGCAUAUGCAGUGGCAUAGAACGAUCUGAACAAGCCUGGUAGGUAUCCAAAGAACAAGCAAUGAAAUUGAACCCAUUUUCUGGAUGGGGUCAAAGAUCUAUCGGCUGGGAUUACUGUUGUCACUGUCCUAUAGAUUUGGGUUGUAUCGUUGUGUAUUAUAUUUGCUAUGGAGCUAUGUAUGUAUGGAUGCUAUGGAACUAUAUGUAUAUAUGGAUGCUAUGGAAUUUUGGAUGUAUGGAUGCUAUAGAAUUUUGAUUUAUGGAUCAUGAAAUUUGUUAUGCAACUUUGCAUAUAUGUUAUGUGUUGUCGACCAGUAAAACUAUUGGGCACAUAUUAUGUAUUAUAUAUUUGAUAUAUAUGUUAUGUGCUGUUGAAUUUGUGGUUUUGUAACAAAACAUAUAUAUGCGAGAAUACCAGAUACUAAUGGAGCACCAUGGGCUAUACUAAUGGCACACUGCCUGGUGCGCCAUUAGUAUAUAUGCCCUGGGAGGAAUACUAAUGGAGCACCAUGGGCUAUACUAAUGGCGCACUGCCUGGUGUGCCAUUAGUAUACCAGAUACUAAUGGCGCAUCAUGAGCUAUACUAAUGGCGCACUGCCUGGUGCGCCAUUAGUAUACUAGAUACUAAUGGCGCACCAUGAGCUAUACUAAUGGCGCACUUCCUGGUGCGCCAUUAGUAAAAAAUUCUAAUGGCGUGAUGCUAGUGGCGCACCUGUAGUGCGCCAUUAGUAGCCAAAACAGGUGCGCCACUAGCAGGCCUUUUCCUAGUAGUGCUAGGAGGUCCACGACCACCCCGAUCACAUCGUACGGGAGCACAUCAAUUGUACAACCUCCACGGUUCUAGGAGGCCUCCUACGAGACCUUCGUGAACACGCACCGGAACCAAAAGCUCGCAAGGCAUGCGAUCUACACAAAGAAGGACAUGACAAGCGAACGAGUGGCGUGGUCCCAAGAAAUGACCACCUUCAAUGCCGAAGAUCACUUGAAAGACAUUGUACAAUCAGGAAAGCGCACCCUAAUGGUAGAUCCCAUCAUGGGGGGUUGCCACCUCUCACACGUCCUAAUGAAUGGAGGUAGAGACCUCAACAUCAUCUUCACCGACACCCUAGAAAAUAUGAAGAUCUCUUUUUAGGGCUAUGGAGAUCGGAUGUAGGUUUCCAGGAAGUGAUAGCAGGCUGCCCGGUCCGUCCCAUGGGGCGUAUCGAACUCGAGGUCAUCUUGGGAGACGAGUCCAAUUACCGAGGUGAAACCAUCCGGUUCGAGGUCACCUCCAUCUAGAGUAGCUACCAUGUGAUCCUGGGCAGACCCGUGUCAACCCAAUGUGCGGUCCUAUCCUCACAGAAACAUGAAAACCGCGACAAGGAUAGAAGCUCAUAUUGGAGACGCUUUAACAAGGUGGAUAUCGUCACAAAUACAUGUACCGAAGAGAAGAGAAUACAAGAUAUUGGCUUAGACUCGCCACAUGAUACAACAUGAAUAUCUCAAUACAUCAGUACGUAACAAUCAUCAUACAAAAGAGCAGGAUCCGACUAUGAAUGAAAAAAGGCGAUGUCCACCCUGUCCUAGGUUGUCGACCUGGGACCCAUCCUAUGAUCGUUGAAGAAGAAGAAGAAGAACACUAAAUUGUACAAUCUUCGCUCUCACGUUAAAACAUCACAUUACUUGUACCUGCGCCUGUUGUUAUAUGAAUCUGCGAGCCACGGGGACUCAACAAUCUCAUUACCAACGGUAUCAAGACUAGACAACCUUAAUGGGCGAGGAAUGGUUAAGUGGUGAGGCUACAUCAAACACUAAUUUUUUUGAUAUCUAGCUAACUUAGGAUAACAAGAAUAAGAAGGCUGAUCUACACAUGAACGGACGUGAACUAAUAAUGACCAGGAAGUGAAUCUGAACACCUACUUACGAGUCAAUCAUAACCCCACCAUGUUCUCUUACUGAAUUCACUCGAAAAGAGAUGGUCACGAUUACACACGCGGUUGGUGUUUUUUAGUUGGGUUUAGUGUCAAGUUCUCUACAACCAGAUAUUAUAACUUCCCAAGUCGACACAUAACCACAUACAUGAAUUUCAAAAAGAUUUAACCCUGAAGGGGUACUCUAAGUAGUCCAUCAUAAAUUCCACAUGCAUCCAAUAGAAAAACCUCAAACCAUGAUAACACGAUGCUUAUGAAAAGGAAUCACAGUGGACAAGUCGCUCGUCAAAGGUAAAACUAAACCAGCAAGACCACCUGACGUGUAAACGAACCCUAUUGGAGUCGCGCAUCUCGUUCUUAGGACACGACCAGAUGGGCCAGUGUAAAACGACCAAAUCUCGAGUUGCCCCAAGGCGGCGCUGCAUAAUGUCCUGUUUUGUACCAACACUCAUGAAGAUCACUGGCCCAUGUUAUUGAUUAAUUAUCCACGAGUUGAUCAUUCCCUAUGAAAUAUUUAUUAGUUAAAAAAUGUAGUGUCAGUGUUGGCCUUGCUGGAGGACUUUUAUCCUAACACGAAUGAUGGGAGGUCGCAUAAUACCCCACAUGUGUUAGAAGCAAUCAUCAAGGAACAUAACACCGUUAUAACGGAAACUAGGGUGGAAAGAGUGCAACAAAAUACCAAGCAAAAGGCUGAGCCUUCCAUGCUUUACCAAGUGUAUAGAUGCAUUAAUUAAAUAAAUAUGAUAGUGUGAUAUCCCAUGAUAUCCAUGUCCUAACAAUUGAACAAACUGCAACUGCUACUAGCAACGCUAUAAGAGGGGCCAAGGAAGUGAUAACUUAGCCAAACAAUGGUUUGCUAGGAUGGUGGAUGGUUAGAGGCUUGUCAUGGUAUUUUGAGAGGCUUGGAAAACAAGUGGUAGGUAGUGUUGGGGAUAUUAUCCAUUAUAUGACCCGCCAUGUUAGGCCAGGCCAGGUUCAUGGUGACUUGUCAAUCGUGAUCAAGAUGGGAUUGGGCCCAGGACCCAGAAGGGGUGAGAUGAUCUCCAGCAGAGGGCCGGAUGAGCCUAAGAGCCCCGAUGGCAACUCAAGGCCCAUGAAUAGGAAUACUCACCAGGUAGUUUCCUUGCUUGGGAGACACGGUAGUUUAGAGAUAUGUCAGGUCACGACUUAUGAUGUGACCUGGACUCUUGUAAACCUAGAGCCUCGACCUGUAUAUAAAGGCGAGUCUCUAGGGUAGAAAGAUUAAGUUACAAUCCAUCGAGAGCUAAUUCAGGCGAGUUACUCACCCUUGUAAUCGAUUCCACCAUCAAUAUACACAAAGUAGGACGUAGGCUUUUACCUCCAUCGGAGGGGCCCAACCUAGGUAAAUCCGAGUCUCGCUUCCACUCGACCCCUUUGAGUCGCCACCAAGGUCCGAUGGCUCCAUAUCUAAGUCCUUUCACGAGGACAUCUGCUGUGAAAAAACCACGACAGUUGGCACCCACCGUGGGGCAUGCGCACGGUGGAGUUGAGUUCUCAAAGGUUGCCCUUCUAGGGUUUGGAAACUACGCGGUCGACCUAAGAGCUGCCGCGAAAAAUACUACAUCGACAAAUCUCAGUGGGGGCCUGACACCGAUUCAAUCGAGUCUGGGUACAGGGUCCCCUUCGGCAAGAUCCAUGUCUUCAUCGGCAAGUUUGGGGUUCCCGUACCUGAGCCGGACACCUUCACCGACAUCGUCGAGCUGGCCCGGUUCGCCCAACCCGCCAAACGUCAGGUUAGGACACGCCACGCCUUCGUUGGUUUUACGCAGGGGAUCGACCUGCCGGAUGAACCGGUGAUCCAGGAGAACACCCCUGUCAACUCGGACGACGAGUCGUCCAUCGGUGACACAGAUUCAAUCUACCCUCUCCACGAAGGGCGGCUUGGGGGAUUGCGCGAGGCGGCGAUUUCCGAGGGUUUCCAAGAACCCCAUCGCCAGGUCACCAUCUGAUACGUCCAAAAUGCAUCACUAUUUUGUAUCAUAAUUUGUCUCUAUUCAUUGAUAUAUUUCACAAUAUGAUGAUGUACUUAUAGUGUUUUGGCUUAUACUACACAAUUUACAACUUUCCGGUGCCGAAACAACAGACGCAGGAUUCAGUGGAGAAAAUAGCACGAAGAGUUACCAUAUCAGAACAUCUCCAACUGUGCUGAAAUUUACGGGGAAGGAGUUUCCGAAAAGAUCACGAAGAAAGGCCAAAGAAGGGCCGGAGGGGGGCCACAGGACACCCAGGCGACCUACUGGCACGGGUCACCCCUAGGACGCUCCCAGAGGCCGCCUGAGUGGUGGGUCCCGCCUUCGGUGCUUUCCUUUGGCCUAUAUGACCCUCGUGACCUAAAAGUUAUGGGGACAUAAGUUUUUUCGGAGUUCCGCCUCCGCUCCGGGGCGGAAACCUACAGAGAAGAAAAGACCUUUCCGGCGGGCAGAUUCCACCAGGGAGAACUCCUCCCGGAAGGGGAGAUCGUCCUCAUCGUCAUCACCAUCGUUAUGGGCAUCAUCGAGAUCAUCAUCACCAACACCAUCUCCAUCUUCACCCCAUCUUACCUUACCAUUGCAAUCGGAGUUGUACCUUGCACUAUUCAUCCCCUCUACUCUACCGAUGUUGAUUACUCUUUUGUGGUGAAUGCUAUUGAGUUUUUUUUGGAGAAUUAUUGUUAUGACCAGAUUGUUUGUCAUAUUUUCAUAACCUCUGAUCAUGAUCUCUUUUAUGUCUUGUGAGUAGUUACUUUAGUUCUUGAGGACAUGGGAGAAGUCUAGUUACUAGUAGUCAUAUGAUGUUGAAGUAAUAUGUGUUGAUUGAUAUUUAAGUUAUGGUGUUAUUAUUCUAGUGGGGUUAUGUGAACGUUGACUAUAUAACACUUCGCCUUUUUAAGGACCUAGGGGAACGCAUCGUGUAUCAAGAAUGCUUAUGGUGGGUUGCCGGAGUGACAGAAACCUGAACCCCAGUUCACAUACUUUUGCACGAGCGAGUAUUGGAUCCUAAAGCUUAUUUCUAUGGUUAGGCUUUGCCUUAAUUUCUCUCUUGUAUUUGCGGACGGUUGCAAGGGGGAUUAGUCAUAAGAGUGUACUUGUCUUAGCCUAGACGGUGCACUUGUUAAGAUCCGCCCACAUAAGACUUAUCAAUACAGAACAUAGUACUAGACAGAAUAUGGCAAAAGCACUUGACUAUCUCUCCCGUGUGUCCUCAGGAACGCCUUAGUCUUUAGAAGUUUAGUUCCUUGGCUUAUCCUUUGUGUUCAAAAGGAUUGGGAUACUUGCUGCACCUCGGCAAUAUUUAAUUCCCUUGCAUUUAUUUCCUUGAUGCUUAUACUAGAAAACCCAUAAAAGUUACCUUUCAGUACUUGCAGUUAUUCCUUGCUCAAGAUCGCUUGUCAGUACCUUCUGCUCCUCGUUGGGUUCGACACUCUUACUUAUCGGAAAGGAUAGGAUAGACCCCCUACACUUGUGGGUCAUCAAGACCAUUUUCUGGCGCCGUUGCCGGGGACUGUAGCGCUAUUGGUAAGUGAAAUUGGUAAGGAAACCUUUACGCUGUACGUGUUGUUUUUUAUUUACUGUUUCCACUUUUUGUCCCUAUGGACAACUCUGCUCUUGGUUUGUUGCUUGUGGGGAACCGUCCCAACGCUAUUGUGGUGGAAAGCCUCCCCCACCUACUAAAAUUGUACCCUUUAAAAUACCAACUGGUAUUAUUGAUUGUGUCUUGGCUAAUCGAUAUGCAGGAGAUAGACAUCCAGGUGAACACUUGCUAUAUAUUUCACAACUAUGCUCCUUAUUUAAGCUUGCAGGUAUAUGGAUGGAUUUUUAUGAGAAAUCUAUUCUCUCUAUUAUUAAAAGAUAAGGCUUUGGAUUGGUAUAGGCUUCUUGAUAACUCUCAUUUACUAAAUUGGCAAGAUCUUAUGCCUCUCUUUUAUGCAAAGUUUUAUCCUCUUCAUGAAAUACAUCGAGACAGGAACUAUAUUUAUAACUUUUGGUCUCGUGACAGAGAAAGCAUCGCUCAAGGUUGGGGGAGAAUAAAGUCCCUAAUGCUCAAAUGUCCCAAUCAUGAGCUCUCCAAGGAAAUUAUUCAUACACAUUUUUAUGCAAGGCUUUCUCGUCAAGAUAAAGAGAUGCUUGAUGCCUCCUCUAGUGGGGCAUUCUCCAACAAAAGCACUGAAGCUAGGUGGGAUCUUAUUGAAAGGAUACAGAAGAACACUGAAGAUUGGGGGAUUGAUAAAGGUAUUGAACCUGUUAUAAAUUAUGAGCAUGAUUACAUUGAGAGCAAUGUGAAAACUGAUUACUUCAAUACCUUUUGUGCUAAGAUUGGUCUUGAUUCCCAACUCCUAAUUGAUUUUUGCAAAUACUUUGCCUCUCAUAUUGACUCUUCCAAGAAGAGGGAGGAUAAACACCAUAAACCUUUUAAGGAAUUACCUGUUGAUAUGAAUGUUGUUGACCCUAUCUUGCCUGCAGUUUUAUAUGAAAAGCCCCCCUUUCCCCACAAGGAUGAGGGAGCAUUCUUUUGUCACAUGCAUACUGAAUAAAAGUGAAAGAACGACUGAUGAGCAUGAGGACCUGAUUAAGGUCGAUCCUCAAGUUGCAUUAGUCAAGGAUCUUGUUACUAGUAAUAUUGAGGAUUCCAAUAUAAUUUUUUGUGCUGUUUCUACUAACCUCGUUACAGCGAGGAAUAAAGGCCCAAUUUCAGGUACUCUAGUUGUAUUUGUUAAAAUAGGAGAUCAUAAUUAUUACGGGCUAUGUGAUUUGGGAUCUAGUGCUAGUGCUAUUCCUUUUUCACUUUAUGAAGAGAUCUUGAAUGAGAUUCUACGAUGUGAAAUUGAAGACGUUGAUGUUAUUAUUCAUCUUGCAAACAAAGAAACUAUCUCUCCUAUUGGAAUUGUGCGAGAUGUUGAAGUUCUACGUGGAAAGGUAAAAUAUCCUACCGACUUUCUAGUACUUGGUUGAGUGCAAGAUAGUUUUUGCCCUAUUAUCUUUGGUAGGACUUUUCUCAAUACUUGAGGUGCUAUUAUAGAUUGUAGGAAAGAAAAAGUAUCUGUUGAAUUUAAUGGUGAGCCAUAUGAAUUUCACUUUUCUAAAUUCUCGAAGCAAACUCGUGGUAGUGAUUUACCUAGUAAUGGUAAAAUUAUUGAAGCGAUUGCUUCUAUUGCUAUUCCUCCUAACGAUCCUUUGCAACAAUUUAUGGAGGACCACGAGAAUGAUAUGCAUAUGUAGGAAAGGAAUGAGCUAGAUGACAUAUUCUUGAGACAACCUGUUAUUCUGAAGCACAACCUUCCGGUUGAGCCUUUGGGAAUUCUAUCAAAACCAAAAGAAGACCCGAUGUUUGAUCUUAAACCUAUUCCCAAUAGGCUCAAGUAUGCUUAUUUAGAUGAAAAGAAAGUAUAUCCUGUUAUUAUUAAUUCUAACCUUUCAGGAUAUGAAGAAGAGCGGUUAUUGGAAGUCCUUCGUAAACACCGAGGUGCUAUUGGCUAUACCCUUGAUGAUCUUAAGGGGAUUAGUCCAUUUAUUUGUUAGCAUACUAUCAAUCUUGAGCCUGAUGCUAAACUGGUUGUUGAUCAUCAACGACGCUUGAACCGGAAGAUGAAGGAUGUUGUGAGGACCGAAAUCCUCAAGCUGCUAGCCGCAUGUAUUAUCUACCCUAUAACUGAUAGUAAGUGGGUAAGUCCGGUACAUUGAGUUCCCAAGCAAGGAGGUGCGACUGUGGUUCCUAAUGAUAAGAAUGAACUAAUACCUCAAAGAAUUAUUAUUGGAUAUAGAAUGUGUAUUGAUUACAGGAAGCUGAACAAGGCAACCAGAAAGGACCACUACCCGUUGUCGUUCAUCGACCAAAUGCUUGAAAGGUUAUCCAAGAACACUCACUUUUGCUAUCUUGAUGGGUAUUCUGGCUUCUCUCAAAUUCAUGUUAACACUGCCGAUCAAGAGAAGACCACUUUUACUUGUCCCUUUGGUACUUAUGCUUAUAGACAUAUGCCUUUAGGUUUAUGCAAUGCUCCUGCUACAUUUCAAAGGUGCAUGUCUUCUAUCUUUCAUUGUUUUUGUGAGGAAAUUGUGGAGGUCUUCAUGGACGAUUGUCUCCACAACCUUAAUAAAGUUUUGCAGAGAUGUGAGGAGACGAACUUGGUACUCAAGUGGGAUAAGUGCCACUUCAUGGUCAAUGAGGGAAUUUUUUCUUGGCCACAAGAUUUCUGAAAAGGGAAUCGAGGUGUACAGGGCAAAGGUCGAAGCAAUCGAGAGGAUGCCUUAUCCAAAGGACAUCAGAUGUAUUCGUAGUUUCCUCGAUCAUGCUGGUUUCUAUAGUAGAUUUAUUAAAGACUUCUCUAAGACUUCGAGACCCCUCACUGAUCUUAUCCAGAAGGAUAUUCCUUUUGUGUUUGAUGAAGAUUGUAAGGAAGCCUUCGAAGUUCUUAAGAAAGCCUUGAUAACCGCCCCUAUAGUCCGACCACCUAAUUGGAAUUUGCCUUUUGAAAUCAUGUGUGAUGCUAGUGAUUUUGCUAUCGGAGCUGUGUUAGGACAAAGGGUUGAUAAGAUGAAUGUUAUACAUUAUGCUAGCAAAACCCUUGAUAGUGCUCCAAAGAAUUACGCUACUACUGAGAAAGAGUUUUUAGUGGUAGUGUUUGCUUGUGAUAAGUUUAGGCCUUACAUUGUUGAUUCUAAAGUCAUCAUUCAUACUGACCAUGCUGCUAUUAAGUAUCUUAUGGAAAAGAAGGAUGCCAAACCAAGGCUUAUUAUAUGGGUCCUUCUUCUUCAAGAAUUUGAUUUGCAGAUUGUUCAUAGGAAGGGAGCAGACAACCCUGUAGCAGACAACCUUUCCAGGAUGGCGGACAUACCACAUGAUCCUAUUCCGGUCAACGGUAGUUUUCGUGAUGAACAGUUAGCUAUUUUGAAAGUACAAUCUAAUUCCGAUCCAUGGUAUGCAGAUUAUGCUAACUUUAUUGUUGCAAAGUUUUUGCCUCCAGGUUUAACUUCCAGCAGAGGAAGAAGUUCUUCCACAACUUGAGGUAUUACUUUUGGGAUGACCCACAUCUUGUUAGAGAUGGUGCGGAUGGGAUCAUGAGGAGAUGCAUACCGGAGCAUGAGCAGAAGGAUAUCUUGAGACAAUGUCAUAACAGUCCUUAUGGAGGACAUCAUGCCGGUGAGAGGACCGCACACAAGGUUCUCCAGUCAGGUUUUCAUUGGCCCUACUCUCUUUGAAGACGCUAGAAAUUAUGUUUUAUCUUGUGAUAAGUUCCAGAGAUUUGGUAAUAUUAGUAGGAGAAAUGAGAUACCUAUGAAUUAUUCUCUUGUCAUUGAGCCUUUUGAUUGCUGGGGUUUUGAUUUUAUGGGCCCUUUUCCUCCUUCACACAAGUACACUCACAUCUUAGUGGGUGUUGAUUAUGUGACCAAGUGGGUUGAAGCAAUCCCCACUGAAAGUGGUGAUCACAAGACAUCUUUGAAAAUGCUCAAGGAUGUAAUCUUCCCUAGGUUUGGUGUACCUAGGUACCUCAGGACCAACAGAGGAUCACAUUUUACACAUGGUGCUUUUAGAAAAGCUCUAGCCAAAUAUGAUGUUAAUCAUAGAAUUGCUUGAUCUUACCACCCACAAACAAGUGGGCAAGUUGAGUUCACAAAUAGAGAGAUCAAGUUGAUCUUGCAAAAGACAGUGAACAGUUCUAGAAAGGACUGGUCCAAAAAGUUAGGAGAUGCCUUGUGGGCGCAUAGAACUGCUUAGAAAAAUCCCAUGGGGAUGUCUCCGUAUAAGAUGUUCUAUGGCAAGGCAUGCCAUCUACCUUUAGAGUUAGAGCACAAAGCUUUCUGGGCUGUUAGAGAGCUUAAUGCUGACCCAAAGCUUGCUGGUGAAAAGCGUCUCAUGAACUUGACUUCUCUAGAUGAGUGGACAAGUGAAGUUUACGAGUGCGCAAAAAAGUUCAAAGAAAAGGUAAAUAAGUGGCAUGACAAGAGAAUUUUGAAACUUGAAUUUAAUGUUGGUGAUAAAGUUUUGUUGUAUAGAUCUCGUUUCAGGUUUUCUCUAGGUAAAUUACUUUUCAAGUGGGAAGGACCGUACCAUAUCGAAGAAGUCUACCGCUCUGGUGCAAUCAAGAUUAAUAAUUUUGAAGGCACAAAACCACAUGUUGUGAAUGGGAAAAGACUCAAGCAUUACAUGGAUGGAGACCCCAUCAAUGUAGAGGUGGAUGUGAUACACGUAUCCACUCACGAAGGACAUAUUGCAACACUGUGUAAGACACCGGUAGAAGCAGAACAAGAAUAGGUACAAAAUACGGUAAGGAAACUUCGUGAACAUCAAUAGAAGUCCCGUAUUAUGUGUUUUAGCAAAAUAAAGAAAAUUCCGAGCCAAAGUGGAGCCGGAGAGGAGCUCUAGGUGCUCCAGGUGACCUGGGGGCGCGGGCUACCUCCUGGCCGCGCCAGGAGGUCGCCUCGACCACCCGGAGUCCGUCUCCGACCCCACUUUGGCUUGUUACUUUCCUUUUGGUGCAGAAUUUUUUGCUAUAUAUUUUCCUGGAUCGUCCCGGCUUUGUAUCUUGCAAUUCGGUGCAUUUUCUUUUCGAUCUGUUUGUGCCAGGAGAACUUUCAGCAAACGUAGGUGCCAUGGCUUCCCCAAAAUCCCCCAAGGACAAGUUCUUCGUCAACGUCAUCAACCCUUACCUCGCAGAGGUAAAGAGACACCCUCAAACACAUUGGGUGGAGGAUGGUGUCUUCCACAAAGAAUAUCUGAAGGGACCUGUCAAGGAGGGGAGCAGCGAGUCCAGGAUGGAAGAGGUGGAGCAAGAAGUCUUCAAGUAGAAGUUGAUGAUCGAGCGUGGUGUCGAGGCCAAAUUCGAUAUCAUCACCGAGCUAAAGAAGCAACAUGAGAAGGAUAUGAAGGAAGUGUGAUCAGUCAUAUCCGCACUAGAAACCAAAGUGUUCGAACUUCAAGGGCACAUCUAUGACCUUCAAAACCAGAACUGUUAGUAUUAACUAAAGUUUUUACACAUAGGCUUAUCUGCCGAAACCAGGAUCCUGGAGACUCAAGAAUCCUGUGUGGAGGGAGGACCUUUGCCAUGGAAGCUUUUCGCUAAAGACUACCUGAGGAACAAGAACAAGGAUGAAGAGUGACAUCGUCGUGCGGAAAUGGCAUUCCCUUAGCUUGUUCCAAGCUUGGAGGAGUGCUCGUUAUAUUUAUUUUUUAUCUUUAUCUUUUAUCUUUUAUGGUCAAGUUUAGUGUCGUAUCAUGUCUACGGAAGUUAUCUUAUGAAAUAGGUGUUUGCAUUGAGGUCUAUCACUCCUUUGUGGAGAGUCUUGUAUCCGUGAGUGUGCAGUUGUCUAUGAUGGAAUAUUAAUGAGAAGUCUAUUGGUUUCUUUGGUGCACCUGGUAUUCUCUUCAUGCAAUCGACCUUAAAUGAGGAUUCUUAUGGGAGUAUUGAUCUUACAUAUCAGGUAUGGCUUUGAAAACUAUAUUUAAUCUUGGCAAACAUAGCAUUGGUCAUAACAACAAGCAUGAGUUUUUCUAGUAGCGACAUAGCCAAAACCUUUAUGUUCUUAUGUUUGAAGUGUUAUGCUGACAAGGAAGACAACUUGAUGUUUCAUGCCAAUUCUUUAUGUUAAACCUUAUAUUGUUUUGCAUCCAAGUCAACAUCAUUUGUCUGCUCUCAAAAGCCUUUGCUAGACAACCCUUGUACUAAGCGGGAAUACUGCUUGUGCGUCCAUACCUUGAAACCUCAACCUUCCCAAGAGUCCACCAUACCUUCCCUUUAUGUGUUAUUUCACCGCCACUCCUAAAUUAUAUUACUCGUCUGCUAUCUUUAAACCUUCAAAUAUCACUCCCUGUUUUGUGCCUCUGUUUUAGCUCAUGAGGAAAUAGUAGAUAAUUCAUGAUCUUCUCAUACAGGACAAGCUUUAUCCUGGGUUUGUAUGUUUAAUCUAUGAACCCCUAAUACAAGGAGGGACUGGCAUGAGUGCACCCAGCUCGUAAAAGAUAAUAACAACAAACAAAACCUCCUUCACGCUUUGUUGAUGAGAAAACUUUGGUAGCGAUAAACAAAGGAGACUAAGGGGAUGUGAUCGUCCCCACUUUGAGAGCCGUUCCUCAAAACUUGUCCAGCAUGAGAAGUAUUGGGCUAUCUACUAGCAUUCGUUGACAAAUUAUGCACCUCUCAGAAGCUUGUUGUACAAUCUCGUUGAUUUCAAAAUCUCUAAAAUCUCUAGCACAUGAGUUUUCCCUACUUCCCUCUGCGAAGGGCUAAUCUUUUACUUUUCUGUUGAGUCAGUAACCCUAUUUCUUUCUAUCUUAUAAAAGAGGAGACACCUUAUGUUGACAAAGAUGCAUCCAUUCAUAUUGUUUUGAGAAUUUCCAUAUCACAUCUUUGUUGACAAUUUCAUUAAGAUGAGUAAGUUGUUUGUUAAGCCUAGCUAAAGCAAACAUCUUCCUUUGUGUUAGCAUUUUCACUUCUUGACUAAUAACAUGUUCUUUCAAAAAGCUUCAAUUGAUCUCAUCAAAAUAUAAGAGGAAGAUCAAAAGUUAAAAGUUAUUAGUUGUUCUUUCACCAAGGACAUGUUUGCCAUGGUUUGAUGAGUUUCCUUAGCCCUAUUUUUGAUUGUGAUUGAUAUUACUCUUUCAUAUGGGCCUUAUGUGUUGAGAUUGCUGUUGAGGAUGGUUGAGUUUAGUAGAGAAAUUAUGAUGCUUCUUGUCCGUAUUCUUAUUUAUCGACACUUCACUCUCUAAACUUGUGGACAGGUUUACCGAGCUCAGUAUUCGCUUGGGGACAAGCAAGGCCUAAGCUUGGGGGAGUCUAUAUGUCCAAAAUGCAUCACUAUUUUGUAUCAUAAUUUGUUUCUAUUCAUUGAUAUAUUUCACAAUAUGAUGAUGUACUGAUAGUGGUAUGGCUUAUUUUACACAGUUUACAACUUUCCGGUGCCGAAACAGCACACGCAGGAUUCAACGGAGAAAAUAGCACGAAGAGUUACCAUAUCAAAACAUCUCCAACUGCACUGAAGUUUACGAGGAAGGAGUUUCCGAACAGUUCAUGAAGAUAGGCCGAAGAAGGGCCAGAGGGGGCCACAGGGCACCUAGGUGACCUACUGGCGCGGGUCACCCCUAGGCCGCGCCCAGAUGCCGCCUGGGUGGUGGGUUCCACCUCCAGUGCUCUCCUUUGGCCUAUAUGACCCUCGUAACCUAAAAGUUAUGGGGAUAGAAGUUUUUCUGGAGUUCCGCCCUGCUCCGGGGCGGAAACCUAUAGAGAAGAAAAGACCUUUCCGGCGGGCAGAUUGCACCGGGGAGAACUCCUCCCGGAAGGGGAGAUCAGCCUCAUCGUCAUCACCAUCGUCAUGGGCAUCAUCGAGAUCAUCGUCACCAUCAUCAUCAUCACCAGCACCAUCUCCAUCUUCACCCCAUCUCACCUUACUUGCAAUCGGAGUUGUACCUUGCACUAUUCAUCCCCUCUACUCUACCGGUAUUGAUUACUCUUUUUUGGUGAAUGUAUUGAGUUUUGUUGGAGAAUUAUUGUUAUGACAAAAUUGUUCGUCAUAUUUUCAUCACCUCUGAUCAUGAUCUCUUUUAUGUCUUGUGAGUAGUUACUUUAGUUCUUGAGGACAUGUGAGAAGUCUAGUUGCUAGUAGUCAUAUGAUGUUGAAGUAAUAUGUGUUGAUUGAUAUUUAAGUUAUGCUUUUAUUCUUCUAGUGGUGUCAUGUGAACAUUGACUACAUAGCACUUCUCAUUUUUAAGGACCUAGGGGAAUGCAUCGUCUAUAAAGAAUGCUUAUGGUGGGUUGACGGAGUGACAGAAACCUGAACCCCACUUCGCAUACUUUUGCACGAGGGAGUAUUGGAUCCUAAAGCUUAUUGCUAUGGUUAGGCUUUGCCUUAAUUUCUCUCUUGUAUUUAUGGACGCUUGCAAGGGGGAUUAAUCAUAAGAGCGUACUUGUCUUACCCUAGACGAUGCACUAGUUAAGAUCCACCCACAUAACACUUAUCAAUACAAAACAUAGUACUAGACAUAAUAUGGCGAAAGCACUUGACUAUCUCUCCGUGUGUCCUCACGAACGCCUUAGUGUUUAUGAGUUUAGUCCCUCGGCUAAUCCUUUGUGUUCAAAAGGAUUGGGCCACUUGCUGCACCUUGGCACCAUUUACUUUCCUUGCAUUUAGUUCCUUGUUGCUUAUACUAGAAAACCCAUAAAAAGUUACCUUUCAGUACUUGUAGUUAUUCCUUGCCCAAGAUCGCUUGUCAGUACCUUUUGCUCCUCGUUGGGUUCGACACUCUUACUUAUCGAAAAGGCUACGAUAGAUCCCGUACACUUGUGGGUCAUCACCAUCUACAUGGCAGGGGCGGCGGCGGCAGCCGACCGCCGCGGGCAACAAUGAAGCGACUGGAUCAGGGAAAACUCCGGCUCAAGCCAUGGCAGAUCUAGUGGCAGAGAUGUCUAAACUCACGGCAGAUGCCGUGACCGCGAAGAACCAGGAUGAGGUCAACACCGAAUUGGCGAAGUUGAGAGAGGAGAUGGCCAAGAUCCAACGCGAGAUCGAAGUCGAGGCCACCAGGAUGGCGAGCCAACAGGCCGAGAUCAUCGCGGAGACAGAACGGCUAAGGGUUCAGGGAUGGCAGCUUGAACGACAACAAUGCACUGGCAAUGCGGUCCACUAGAGGAGGCAUCACAAUCGUGUGCCGGCCGAUCUGAACCCUACCCGACUCUUCGACAACCCACAUACCCCAGGGAUGGAACCUAACCCGCCGUGGCGAGUCACUCAGCAGAUUGACCCAGCUUGGCUGCCGCCCAAUCUACAGAGGCCCGAGCCGACGCCGGCCCAGCCUCCGCGCUUCCAGACGCCGAAGGGUCACUUUUUAACCCCGUCGACAAUGUGUCGGCUGCAAACCGCAAUCUAGAGUCUCUUCCCAUCCAUGGAAACUCCCUAGCUGAGGUGGAGGCGAGGAAUGCCAUCGAGAUGUUGAAAACGACGGUGGUCCAACAGGCGCAAUACUCUUAUAGUCGUGAUCGGUUGCACUCUGCGCCUCACGCAAGUUAUACUAGGAGUCGCCAUGACGAUCCGCUCGCGGUGUCUAGCAGUGAACGGCAUCGACACCCGCACGCCAACCCGUCUGGGUUGCCAGACACGCAUGCCCAGGACCUCGUGGAUGCCACACAAGCCGCCCGUUUGACAGAGGUGGCAACCGCGGCGGGUCAAGGCUAUCCGGCUUACUUGCCGCCUUCCCCUGCGCACGGCUAGUCAGGAGGCAGGAACAUAGGGAUACCCUGUCUGUCACCCGCCCUCCAUAAUGAGUGUAUGACCAAGGACUUUAAGGUUCCGCGCAAGGUUCCCAACUACAUACCAGAUCUUGAGACAGGAGCGUGGGUCGAGAGAUACAAGCUUGCGAUGGACAUGCUCGAUGUCAAUGACGCGGUGUGUGACAAGUACUUUACAAUGAUGCUCGAAGUGACGGCACACACUUGGCUGUAGAAUCUGCCGCCCAACUCCAUCAACACCUGGGCCCAGUUGAAGGAACAUUUUGUCAAAAACUUCAGAGGAACUUGCAAGCGCCCAAUGACUAUUGUCGACUUACAUCACUAUGUUCAACGUCCAGACGAGUCGACCCAUCAUUGGACGCGGCGGGUUGCAGAGGUAAUCCAUUCAUCGGAUGGUAUCACGGUGGCUCAGGCCGUGCUGAUCUUGGAGAAAAACUGUCACUACCAGCCCUUGGUGUUGAAGCUUGGGCGACUCAAGCGGAAGGUACAUGAUAUUGGCGAGUUGAUGGACACCCUGACUAGGUAUGCCGAGUCAGACGAUACAAAAGACCCCGGGGAGGACGAUGAUAAAAUCAUCAAGGACAGGAGGGGAGAAUCAUCCAAAAGCCAAUCUCAGGCCCACAGACGAAGUAACUACAACCCCGCGGGUCAAGGGAAGAAAAGGCAGCAGGAAGGUGCCACUGAUUUCGUCGCCAAUACUAACACCGGAAAACGAGAAUCAACGUCAGAAGAAAAGGGGCUUCAGCGGGAAAAAGCCACGCAACUAUCACGAGAUGCUCAAGGGCCCUUGCCCACAACAUACCACAACGGAGGGUCCAACCACUCAUUCUUGGGAAGACUGCUAUGCGAUGCAGGAGUUUCGUGCUGAGGCACUCAAGAAAAACCAAGGAGGCACUAGUGGUGGACACCCGGACCAAUUUGGAUCGGGCAGCUCACACAAGAAUCCGUUUGGUGGUUUUUCCAACCCUGGUCCACAGGGCGGUUCGCACUCCAACGCUGGACAGUACCCGGUCCCGAGCAGCCAACAGUAUAAUGCGCAGGGCGGUUUCGAGCAGCAGCUUCACCCGAGCGGCUUCCAGAACAACCCGAAGCAGUUGAAUAGCACGUAGUAUCACAUGUUUACCACCAAUGCUUGCAAGAGGGACAAGAAGGUUAAGCACAGAGCCCUCAGCAUAGCUGAGCUGGCGCUGCCCAGGUAUCUCAACUGGUCCGAGCAGCCAGUUACGUGGAGUAGAGAGGAUCACCCGCCCCGGGUUGAUAACCCUGGCGACUUGGCACUGGUCAUGGCACCACAGGUGGGGGCUAUAUCCUCUCCAAAGUCCUCAUGGAUGGUGGCAACAAUAUCAACAUCUUAUACUGUGACACCUUCCGAAGAAUGCAUUUCUCUGAAGUCGACUUGAUGCCUUCCUCUACGGUCUUCCACGACAUCGUCCCGGGUAAGUCGGCAUAUCCCGUUGGGCGCAUUAAACUCAACGUGGCUUUUGGCACCGAGUCUAACUACAGGAGCGAGUCUCUCACAUUCAAGGUGGUCAAGAUCAAGAGCCGUUAUCAUGCGCUUUUUGUUCGGCCGGUUUACGCCCGUUUCAUGGCCCGCCCAUGUUAUGUCUACCUUAAGCUCAAAAUGCCAAGCCCUAAAGGAGCCAUCACGAUAUGUGGAGAUCGGAAGAUAGCUCUAGAGUGCAAAAAAGGAGAUGCCGCUUAUGCUGAGUCAGCUUGCACAACUAAGGAACUUAGGUUCCAUCAAGCCAAUGUUGACCUGGCAGGCAUGACCCCACUCAAGAAGCCCACAAUCGAUUCAGAGCUGCCCCUUAAGUUUUAGCCUACAGAUGACACUAAGAUGGUUGAUUUCACGCCUGGUGAUUCUUCCAAGCAAUUCACUAUUGGGACGGGUCUGGAUCCCAAAUAAGAAAGCGCACUCAUCGAAUUCAUCUGUGAGAAUCGGGACAUCUUUGAAUCGAAACCUUCUGACAUGCCGGGUGUACCAAGAGAGUUCGCUGAGCACCACCUUAAUGUAGAUCCCAAGAUGAAUCCGGUUCGGCAGUACCUUCAUCGUUUCAACGAGGAAAGGCGUAAAGAAAUUGGAGAAGAGGUAGCCCGGCUCUUGCCUGCUGGGUUCAUUGUGGAGGUUUUUCACCCAGAGUGGUUGGGAAAUCCAAUUUUGGUCCUCAAGAAGAAUGGCACCUUUCGCAUGUGCAUCGACUACACUGACCUUAACAAGGCCUGCCUGAAAGACCCUUUUGCUCUCCCUCGUAUCGAUCAAAUCAUUGACUCUACAGUGGGUUGCGAGGGACUGUGUUUUUUGGAUGCAUACUCAGGUUAUCACCAGAUCAAGAUGGCUUUGGAGGAUCAGGAGAAGACGACCUUCAUAACUCCCUUUGGCGCUUUUUGCUAUGUCUCAAUGCCAUUCGGGCUCAAGAGUGCGGGGGCGACUUAUCAGCGCUGUAUCCAGAAUUGCGUGCACAAUCGGAUCGGGCGCAACGUUCAUGCCUAUGUUGAUGACAUGGUGGUGAAAUCCCAAAAGAAAGAGUCACUUCUGGAGGAUCUCAAGGAAAUGUUUGAUAAUUUGCCCGUGUAUCAGAUGAAGCUUAACCCAACCGAGUGUGUUUUUGGUGUCCCUGUAGGGAAGUUAUUGGGCUCCUUUGUGUCAGAGCGAGGUAUUGAGGCCAGCCCGGACAAAAUUAAGGCGAUUACCUCACUUGGCAAGCCGUCCAAUAUCAACUAGGUCCAGCGUAUGGCGGGUCGUAUUGCGGCUUUGAGUCGUUUCAUAAGUCUCCUUGGGGAGAAGGCCAUCCCCCUUCAUGAGCUGCUCAAGAAAACAAACCGUUUUGUGUGGACAGAUGCGGCCAACGAAGCCUUUGAGGCCCUGAAGAAACAAUUGGCUGAGCCGCCCAUACCGACAAAGAGCCUAUGCUCAUGUACGUUGCUAGUAACUCUAAAGUAGUAAGUGUGGCAGUGGUUUCCGAACGCAAAGAAGAAGGAAAUGAGUAUUCGGUUCAGAGGUCAGUAUACUUUGUCAGCAAAGCCUUAAUCCUCUCCAAACAACGUUAUCCACACUAGCAGAAGCUGGUUUUCGGGAUCUUCAUGGCGAGUCGGAAGCUGAAGCACUACUUCCAGCAGCAUACGAUCAUGGUGGUUAGUUCUGUGCCACUUGGCGACAUCAUACAAAACCGUGAAGCAUCCGGGCGGAUUGCUAAGUGGGCUAUCGAGCUUGGUACUGACCACGUGAAGUAUAUGCCCCGCAUGGCUAUCAAGUCUCAGGCCUUAGUGGAUUUCAUCAACGAUUGGACCGAGUUGCAGAUUCCAGAGGACAGACAUGAUCACACGUAUUUCCCUAUCCACUUUGACGGGUCUAGGCAGCUGGAAGGCUCGGGGGCUGGCGUAGUACUGACUUCCCCGCAGGGUGACACGUUUUGCUACGUCCUCCGGCUCAUGUUUCCAUGUACUAACAAUGCAGUAGGGUACGAGGACUUGCUCCAUGGGCUUAGGAUCGCCAAAGAGAUGAACCUCAGUCGAGUUAGAUGCCUGGGCGACUCGGAUCUGGUGGCGCAGCAAGUUUUCAGAACAUGGGAUUCCAGGGAUAUGUUGAUGACGGCUUACAGACGUGCUGUAUGAGACGUGGCGGGUCACUUUCAUGGUUAUCUAGUUGAUCAUAUCGACCGCCGGCUCAACGAAGCAGCUGAUGCUCUUUCACGACUCGGGUCAUAGUGUAAGCCGGUUUGUCCCAAUGUAUUUUUGGACAUUUUGCAUAAACCGUCGGUGAAAUUGCCUUCUCAAGAGGAUGUAGAGGUUCCUGACCCGGAGUCUCAACUUGUGGCGACUCUUCAUGCCACUCCGGAUUGGGCAGUCCCUUACAUGGCUUAUUUGGCAUGAGGCGAGUUACCUGCUGAUGAGUUGCUGGCCCACCAAAUUAUUCGGCGAUGCAAAUCCAGGGUCAUACAUAAGGGCGAGUUGCACAAACGAAGCCCUUUUGGAAUUUUUCAAAGAUGUGUCUCGCCCGACGAAGGACGUGCGUUCCUCAAGGAAAUUCACGCUGGUGAUUGUGGUCACCACGCCGGGUCAUGCUCUUUGGUGUCCAAGGCUUUUAGGCAUGGAUUCUAUUGGUUGACGACUCACGUAGAUGCUGAGGACAUAGUGCACAGAUGUGACGGGUGUCAGAAAUUUGGGCGUCAGAUGCAUGUGCCGGCUCAAGAGUUGUAGAUGAUCCCAAUUACAUGGCCUUUUGCAGUCUGGGGGCUCGCCAUGGUUGGUCCAUUGAAGAUGUCUUCCAACAAAAAGACUCACCUACUAGUGGCGGUUGACAAAUUUACCAAGUGGGUUGAAGCAGAGCCGGUUAGCAGUUGCGAUGCAGGUACAGCCGUCAAGUUCCUCAAGAAGCUGAUUUUUCGCUUCGGGUAUCCUCAUAGUAUGAUCACUGAUAAUGGUACUAAUUUAUCUAAAGGCGCCAUGCAAGAAUUUUGUGAAAAAGAGCACAUCCGGCUUGAUGUCUCUGCGGUUGCGCAUCCCCAAUCCAAUGGACAAGCGGAAAGGGUGAAUCAAGAAACCUUCCGUGGGAUCAAGCCCCGACUCAUGGUUCCUCUGGAGCGCACCCCUGGUUGUUGUGUUGAAGAGCUUCCUUUCGUUCUUCGGAGCAUAAGGACUACCCCUAACAGAUCCACUGGUUACACGCCAUUUUUCUUGGUCUACGGAGCUGAGGCGGUCUUACCAAGUGACAUCAGGCAUGACUCGCCGCGAGUCGCCGCUUAUGUUGAGGAGGACAAUGAGAUGGCGCAUCAAGAUUCAUUGGAUGCUUUGGAGGAGGAGCGUGACUUAGUAGCAGCACGGUUGGCGGUUUACCAGCAAGACUUGCGACGCUAUCAUAGCCGCCGAGUCAGAAGCCGGGUCUUUCAGGAGGGUGACUUAGUGCUCCGAUUGAUUCAAGAUCAUACUGGUAUGCAUAUAUUAUCUCCCCCAUGGGAAGGGCCGUUUGUCGUGAGCAAAAGUCUUCAUAAUGGUUCUUACUACCUGGUGGAUCUUCAUCCAGAUAGGCCAACAAUAGAGGUUGAAACAACCCGGCCUUAGAACAUUGCCCACUUGCGGCCUUAUUACACUUAGAGCCAUUGGCUCCUUAUCAUUGUACAUAGUUUAGUCCUUGUACUCUCUUUAUAUAUAUAUAUGUCGCAAUAAAGCCGACACCCACGAAAUACGGGGUCUCUGUCAUUUCAGCUUCUUGAAAGCAUGAGUCUUUAUUGUUUCACAAGCCGUCGAAGCAUGGACGCUAUCAAUAUCAAAGAGCAUAAGUCGCCACGUUGCACUUAUUUCAAAACUGGAUACUGGUAAGCCAAAGAGGACCAAAGUUUCCAAGUUGCACGGUUCAAACAUGGGCGCCUUAUAUGAUUUUGAGAACUAAGCCAACUUACUUGGGGGCUACUAGUUCCCAAGUCAUUUUGCAGUAAGAGCGUAAACGCUUCUGCAAUCCUAUGUACGACUUUUCCCUAAUCAUAGGUCACUUGGGGGCUUCUACACACUGAGUUCAUCCUGAAUACCCUCUUGGCUAGCGAAAAAUUAACACAUUACAAUGGUUAUACUGGACUAUAUGCUAGGCGACUCGCCCUAUGGUCCCAUGUACUCUUGGCGAGUCAAUCCAGUUUUGGACCCUGAACUUUCCUUGGUUAAAACAUGAAGGGUGCUUGCUGGAGCAGGUAUAUGGAAAAUAGAAAAACCAUGGGUUCACUGAACCUGCUUCACUGAAGCUUGACUCGUGCCUGAUCAGCCGGUCUAAACAACUAAGGUUGUUGCAAAAGCCUCUCUAGGGUAGCACUAGAGCCUUGCAAGCUCGUCCUACCCUGCCGUGACUCAUUGAGCCGGCAAACUUUAUGACUAGAGAGUAUCUUUGUGGUACAAUUAGAGUUUUCGAAAACUCAUUGUAAGCCGCCACGUCUCACUGAGCCGGCUCAUUAUUUCUUCUCUGACCACAUGAAGAAUAAUUACUUUGCAGAAGACAUGGCAAAACGCCUAGUAAGGCGGCUCAUAUUAACAAAAGGGCGAGACUUCAGAGUCAACAAAGGUGAAAGUGCAUGCUAUGCCCCUAAUCAUCUUUUGGUGUUAAUGACAACACAUACAUAGGAAACUAAUCCUAUUUGUUGAGUGUAUCUCAGGAUGGCAAGUACGUUAGUAGAUUGAGAAUUAUGUGCCAAAGGUUGUCUGAAAAGAUUUGGGAUUUAUAUUUCGAGAAAGCUCGGGAUUAAGAAAAGAUGAUUUAGACUAGUCUUUUGAGUUUACUGAUAUUGAGUAUAGGGAUCCCGCACUAUUAAGAGGGGAUCACAGGUUUUGCGAUGAACUUGCUCAUACCACAUCUUUACUAUCAUACCCAAUACCACAUACUCUCCACUCUGUUCUCAAUUCAAAACAGGUCUAUUGCCUCGGACAUCCGGCUCCCUCCGGACGUCCGAGGGCCGGACGACCGGCAGGCUUUGGAAAUCCGCAGCCCUUCACCAGAAGUUUGUGAGUCAUAUAACUCGGAAAUCCGGCUCCCUCCGGACAUCCGAGGGCCGGACGUCCGGCCAAGCCCCGAAAAUCCGGAAGCCUGCACAGUAGAAGUUGAGUUCUAUAACUCGGAAAUCCGGCUCCCUCCGGACGUCUGAGCGCCGGACGUCCGACCCCCGUCGGAAAUCCGGAACAUACCACUAGAAGAAGUUGAGUUGUAUAACUCGGAUUUCCGGUCCUCUCUAGACGUCUGAUCGCUGAUAAAUUCAAAAUAGUUUCAGUCGUAUCUACAGGCCUCGGACGACCGACCCCUGUCGGACGUCCGACCUCUCGCGGACGGCCGGACUUCCGGCAACUGUCGGACGUCCGGACCCUGUGUGACUUAAAGUACCUCCAACGGCUGGAUUUCACUCCCCAUUAUAUAUACUCUUCUUCCACCUCGUGAAAGGGUGUUCAACACAGCUAGAAUACACCGAAGAACACCUUUCCUCUCACUCACUCUUGUCUACACCAAAUCCUAGAUCCCAAGAGCAUUUGUGAGUCCCUUUGAGUGUUGUUACAAUCAAAAGAUAGAUCGUCUCCCUCUCCUCCUCCCCACCAAAGUGAUUUGUGAUUUGAGCAAGUUUUGAGCAAUCCCCGUGAUCUUGUUACUCUUGGAGGUUGGAGACUCCUAGGCGGUAGGAGUCUUCGGAGAGGAAUCAAACCAUUGUGAUAUCCCCCGGAAAGUUUGUGAAGGUUUGGAAGCCACCUCAAGGCUUACCACUAGUGGUUGAGAAACGCCUUCGUGGAGUUAUCUGAAAGGGAGAAUAGGGUGAGCCUUCGUGGCGUUGGUGUGCCUUCGUGGUAACAUCCGCCCCUCUAACGGUGACGUAGCUUCCCUCCAAGGAAGUGAACAUCGGGAUACAUCCUUGUCUCUCUCGGAGUUUCGGUUAUUCCUAACCCUAACUCUCUACUUGUGUUAAUCCUCAUUACAUACUUGUAUUUGAUUAUUGUUUACCGCUUGUCUUACUUCACUCUAAAUAGCUUACUCUUUGUCAUAGAAAUUAUUAGGCUUACACUCAUAUUCCGCACUUUUGCCUAAAAUUGCUAAGUAAUAUUAAAAUUUGGAUUUGUACCUAUUCACCUUGUCUAGGUCCAUCUCGAUCCUUUUCAAAAGGUAUGGUGCAGAAUAAUAUUGUUUUCCACUCUAACCUAUUACUUGUCUUAGAAGGCCACCAAAUGUUACAUGACACGACAUUGGGUUUUAUGAAUUGAUCUCCAUGGGCGGUCUUCAAGUGACACCUUGUUUAAGCCGCCUCCGGAUUAUCCUGCGUCGAGAUUUCGCCGUCUUGGAUUUGUAAGUAACCCAUUUUUGAAUUGCAAUUGGUUAAGGCAUGGAAUUCAGCCUCGUCAGUCAAGAUGGUGGACAGGUCAGCAUCAGAGUCAAAAGGAUGCUUACGGUGCUGCGGAGUCAGAACUGUGAUUUCAUAAGAGGGAGGAGUGACACGCUUGUUGUGCUCAUCAUAUGCCGCCUGAUACUUGGCUAAAUCCAGACUGGCUGCCAGUUGAGUCACCUCUAGGCGGGAUUCCUUCACACAGAGGUGGUAAUCCUCUUCAAAAAAUUCUGACCUAUCAUCUUUGUACUAUGGAAACCCGCCAGUUAUGUCCUCCGGCUUAAGCUCUAGAGCAUAAGCCAAGCACCGGCUCAGGGUGGUCAAUACUCCUUUCCGGGCGACUAACCUUUUUAAUUCUUCAAUCUGAGGUGGCAGUGUGGACAAGCACCCCAACAUAUACUUGAUUGACUUAACGGGCUCCUUGUCGCCCAUAACGACCUUAAUAUUCAUCACGCCGCCAAUAAAAAGUUGCUCUGUUAAGGUAUAUAUGGCAUUUAGUUUCAAUACACAAUCAUCAUGGAGAUUGGCAGAUCAAGGACCUGCAGCAAGGAUACACAAUCAUAAGUCGCCGCAAUGUUUUAGAACCCGACUUUGCAAAUAAGGAUAGUGGCGGAUACGUACCAAACACGAAAUUAGCCAUUUUGGAGAUGAUAAGCUUAAGCCCGGUCAGUUCCUGCACGGCGACCUUCAUUUGUUCCUCGACUUGUUCAACCCUUUUCAGCAAGGCGGCUCGCUCAGCUUUGGCCUUUUCUUCAAGCUCCUUGUGAUCCGCCUUCAUCUUCUCAAUGUCAACCAAUGCAAGGCUGAGCUUUUAUUCAAACUUAGCUCGGGCAUCUUGCUGCUCCGCUAAGCUUUCCCUCAAGCCGGACACGAUUGAGUCGGCCUGGCUCAACGUUUCCUGCAAACACCAGACGGUUAUAACAAGUUCCAUGCAGAUUGCGAGCAAUAUCCCUAACACUUGGGGGCUAAUGUCCGAGUCAAUUUUUCCAUGGCAAGACGUUAAAGCAAGACCCGACUCAUCUUCAAGAAGAUAACCCGGCCCUUGAGGGCUAUAGGUUGAAGCUUUCUUCAAAUUUUAAGCAAUACCGAGCUCAUCUUCAAGAAGAUGACCCGACCCUUGGGGGCUACAGGUUGAAGCUUUCUUCAAAUAUAAACUUAAGACCCGGUUCAUCUUCAAGAAGAUGACCCGGCCCUUGGGGGCUACUGGUUGAAGCUUUCUUAAAAUUUUAAGCAAGAGCCGGAUCAUCUUCAAGAUGAAGACCCGGCCCUUGGGGGCUACAGGUUGAAGCUUUCUUCAAAUAUAAGCUAAAACCAGGCUCAUCUUCAAGAAGAUGACCCACCCAUUGGGGCUACAGGUUGAAAAUUUCUACAAAGCUCGACUCAUCAAAGAUGACUCGCCCUUUGGAGGGCUAAUGGGAGUACAUAUGAAGGAGGAUAACAGGUAUCAUACCUCAUGUUUUCUUUUCAUCAUAUUAACCAAGCUUUUCUCCAUUUCAUGACUCGUCUCCAGGCGACUUAAUGUCACAACCCUAGUUUCUAUUUUCUUUCCAAGCAUUCAUGCAUGCAUAUUUAAACUUUGAAGUUUUUGAAGUGGGAAGUGAUCAAGCCAUAAGGAAGAAAACUUUAACAAAAAGGCAAUAGAAAUAUUACCUUAAAAUGAACCAGGAAAAUGUUCCAAAUAGUUGAGAAAAUAGUGACAUGAUAUAAACUUGUCAUAUCAAUAUUUAGGACACAGAAACUUUUUGAAAUGGAUCUUUGAUUUGAUCAAAUAACUAUUUGGAAUGGAAUGAUUUUGAUUUAUAUAAAAUAAAAGUUUCAAAAAUUAUGAAACUGUUAUGUGGCAUUGGGUAUUUUUAUCACUGUCACAUAAUAUUAUUUUAUGAUUUUAUAAAAUGAUUAAAUAUUUUAUUAAAAUCCAAAACCUAAAUGUCAGAAAAGAAAUGAAAUAAAAACAGAAAAAAGAGAGGAGAAGACGUUACCUUACACUCAGCUGCUGGCCAGUCCACCAGGGGGGGUCUCCCCUGUCGUCUUCCUCCUCGUGCCAGAAGGCAGAGGGGAAGAGGAGCACGGCGGAAGCAUCAGGAGCCACCUCCUGCUUCGCCGUGUUACUCUCGCCUGUCUCCUCGCGCCAGCACGACGAGCAUCGCCUCUCCUUAUCUCCUCCCCGCUCCAUUCCCCUCCUCUCUUCCUCUGUUUCCUUCUCUCUCGCCGCCAUUGCCGGUUUGCCCGAGCUCGCCUCCAGCGUGUCUUCGGCCACCCCUCGUUCCCCUGACCAGCCCAUCAGCUCCGCCUCGAUGAGCCGCUCCUCCCCGUCAACCUCCCCGAGCACCCAAGCCUCCGCAGCGUCGCCAUCACCACCUUCUUCCACCUCCGGUCGCCAGAGCUCCCCGCUUCGAUUCGUCGGACAGAGGGCCUCUCCGUCGUCGCUGAUGCUAGAAAUGGAGCCGCAGUGAGCCCCUGCUCUUUUCCCUUCUCUCUCCCACGCGAAAACUCACUCCAGAGCUCCUCCCCGAUGAGCCCGACCUCCGCCCGCUGCACGCGCUCGUCACCGGCACCCUCUCCGGCCAUCCUAGCCCCUCCUACUACCCUACCAGAUCGGGCACUUCGCUCGCUAGCCGUAGCCGCACACCGCAUGCCAAAUAGUGCCUCGUAGCUCGAUUCCGGCCAACUCCGGUGAGCCUGCGCAGCGGGCUUGGUCGCCGGCGACCACCCUCCGGUGGGCGUCGACGUGGCCGACUAUUAUAGCUUAAUUAAACCCCCCACAGCCACUACCAUAGGGCCCCAUGCCUAGUCAAACCCCAAUUAGGGGCUGGACAGCGCGGGUUUAGCCCCUGGGUCACUGACCUGUGGGCCCCACUGGUCAGGGUUGACCUGGCCCAGGCGCUGUUGACUGAUGACGCCAGUCUGACGUCACACUGACGCAGUAAAGCCUUUCUGAUUUUAAUUAAUUCCAGAAUAUUGCCAAAACUUCAAAAGUUCAUACAAAAUAAAAUAUUACUUGGAUGAAAAUAAUUUAUAUAUGAAAAUUAUCAGAAAAAUGCAAGGAAUCCAAUGGAACCAUUUUCAUGCAUGGUUGAACAAUUUAACCUUGCUAAAAAUGACAAAUUCACAAUAGGCUUAUAAGUGAAAUGUAAUUGGAUUUUGAAAAUGAUUUAUAUAGAUCAAAUAAACUUAAAUCAACUUGUGAUCACUUGCAUUAGGUAAAAUCAGCAUCAUGAUAACCUGCCAUGCUCAUGCAUCAUUGUGAAGCAUUUGCGGUGAUUAACAUAUUCUUGUUUGAUCUGUUGUUAGACCUUGCGAGAUGUAGUGAUCACCGACAUCAAAGAAUAUCUGAGUUCUUCUGAUCAACAGGCAAGCAAAACCCCCUUGAGCAUUCCGAUAAAAUCCUACUCUCCCGCUCUUGCUCUCAUUUCAAUGCAUUAGGACAUAAAGAUUCAAUUGCUACUUAUGUUCGGUAGAUGAACCCAUUCCUUUGCAUGACCUGUCUCUGUCACAGUAAAUAGUUAAACCAAGCAACCUAGCAUACCUUGUAGAUGCUUGAGCCAUGUUGUGCCAUUACCCUGAUAUGCUUGCUAUGCUUAGAGUUGAGCUGGUCUGAUCAUCUGGAUGAUGAACUGGAAUGAUCAUGUCCUACUGAUGAGAGUUAAGUGUGUGAACCUGUGUUGGUAAAGGUAGCGAUGAGAGGCCAUGUAGGAGUACAUGGUGGGUUGUCUCAUUGUCGCCGCACUUAGGACCUGAGAUCUUGUGUUGGUGUUCCAAGACUAGGUACUAACGCACAUUGGGUUCCGGUAACUCGACCCCUCUCGGACUAUUAACUACUCUGUUCUCAGUCCAGGAGUUGCAGUAGUUCGUAACAUUCAUAGGUUGUGGCACGGCCGGCUAAGUGGAUGAACGGCCCACUCGGGACCGGCUUGGGGCCCUGCUCACAUCGUUUGAGGCCAUGUUGGAAACCUCGGCCGGACUUCCAUUAUGGGUUCCGACUUAGAUAGGCGACUGCCUUGGGCGUUAGACAUUGUAGGUUAACGUCCGUGGCUGACUCCCUCGUUGGGCUUCCGCUUGAAGGUUGCUGAGGUGCUUGUUUUAUGUGCACUUGGCGAUAAGUGGUGGGAGCAUGUGUGACGAAGUACACCCCUGCAGGGUAAUUAUCUAUUCGAAUAGCCACGUCCUCGGAUAUGUACUACUUGGAUACUUGCAUGGUUCAUAGAUAACUUUAACAGAUACUCUAAAAUGGUCCAGAUAAGUGUGAGUGCUAUGGAUGGCCCUCUCGAAGGAUGACGAGAGAGGGUCGAUGGUGGUGUAUUGAUGUAAUGGUUAUGUGGAAUCGUGUGCGCUCUCUCGUAAUGAGACGAGAGAGGUAGUAAAACAUUAUUGUAGAAUAGGUUAACCAAAGGUCAAAGCUGGCUUUUCUGCAAUAAACCCCACAAUUCCGUUCAUUGAUACAUGAUGCAUAUGUAGUUAGUUCUGAUGUAAGUCUUGCUGAGUACCUUCGUACUCNNNNNNNNNNNNNNNNNNNNNUUUAGUAGUACUCUUUAUAGGGAAAUGCCUCUGUGUGCUUCCGCUGAGCCUUGGUAGCUUGCUACUGCUCCGGACACAUUGAUUGACCGGCAUGUAUCCUUCUUGGCUGCUGUGUUUGUUCCCUCGGGGAAAUGUCACGCGGUGUAAUGGAGUCCCUGUAGCUUGCUACGACUUGUCUACACUCGCUGAUGACCGACACCUUCCCUGCUGGGUUAUGUAUGCGUGUCCCGGUACGGAUGUGCCACUUGGGUUCAUAACUAGCCAUGUCGAUCCAGGUUCUCUGACAUAUGAUUGCUGGCAACAUAGUCAUAUGCGUGAGCCAAAAGGCGCAAACGGUCCCGACCAAGGUAAGGUGGCAGCCGUGGUGAUUACCGUGCGUGAGGCCACAAAGUGAUAUGAUGUGUUACCAGCCGGAGUUGUAUGGCUUAGGAUCGGGUUCCUGACAGCGUUGGUAUGAGACCUUGACUGUCUGUAGGAUUACUAUGCCAAACUGGUCGAUGUUGAGUCUAGAAAAUCUAUAGUUAUAUGAGGGAAUUGAUUGUGGAAGGGAACGUAAGGUUCUUUUAUUCUUUUCCGUGAGUCACUCUAUUCUGAGUCACCUCUUCUUUUCUACGGGGAUUAAGGACUAGGCUUCUUAUCUAUCUACUGGGAUGACGAGUUACUAAACCAUGGACUUAUAGGAUGAUUUUUGUGUGUCAAUCCUUCUUCCAUCAGAAUUGUGAGAAGAGAUGUCUUUGUUCUUGUUGCACCUUGAAUCCAUCACAUUGAGUUGUUAUGUUGCCAAAUCUCUUGCAAGAUGCCUCAUACUUCAUGCCAGUACAGCCGUUAUGCUGUCCGAUUUUCCCUAGGAUUGUGGUGUUUUAGUGUUCUUCCUUGUCUCUAAACUUUGGACUGUUUCUUCAGGAUGUCGCGAGUAACCCGGAAUGCUGCUGGUCGUGAUCAGAACCAUGGAGAUGGUAGGUACGAAGAAGAUCCUCUUAAUCCGCCUUUGUUGACAGAGGUUAUGUUAGAAAUUGAGAGGAACAAGCACGCCACCAACCGCCUGUUGGAGCACAUUGAGAAGAAUACAACCUAUCAGCGCAAUGAGCUAGUAUCCCUCAGAGACUUCAUCAAAUUGAAUCCACCCACCUUCCAUCAUUCCAUUGAGCCACUAGAUGUAGAUGAUUGGCUCCGAAGUAUCAACAACAAGAUGCGUUAUGCAAACGUGGCUGAAGGAGACAAGGUUACCUAUGCCACAUAUCACCUCGAAGGUUCUCGUAGUCUAUGGUGGGAGAACUUUGAGGCUAUGCGUCUUUCAGGCCAAGUUACUUCAUGGAAGGAGUUCUGUGAAGCUUUUCGUGAGCAUCAUAUUCCGCAGGCCCUGAUAGAUCGUAAGCAAGAAGAGUUUUGCAAUUUGACUCAAGGCAAGAUGGAUGUGGAUGCUUAUAGUCGUGAGUUUGGACGCCUUGCGCGUUAUGCACCAGAAAAAGUAUCCACGGAUGCCAAGAAGCAAGCUAGGUGCAGGAAAGGUCUUAACCCAAGGCUUCGUCAUGAUCUCAGUUUGCAUGAGUUCAUCAGUUUCGAGGUCCUGGUGAACAAAGCCAUCCGUGUAGAAACGAGCAGAAUGACCUACGAGGAAUCUUGCAAGCACAACCGUGAUGUUGGAUCAUCUUGAACUUCUGUAUCCCAGAAGCGUAGGAUAUGGAUUCCGAAUGCUGCUCUUACUCCGAGAUAUGUACCGAGGCCAUCCUAUGUGGCGCCUCGUCCGUCGAUGCCAAGUGUUCCCCAAAACAAUCUCAUCAAUCAAGUGCUCAACCCAGACCCAUGCCCUAUUUAUGGAGCAUGUUUCAAGUGUAGCAGGACAGGACAUUAUUCAAGGGAUUGUCCUUUGCAUGUUUAUGUUCCACCCCUUCAGGAAUGGGUGUUGUUCGUUGCAAGCCGCCAACUAAGAAGUCUAAGGAAAAGUCAGUUGCUCUAACCCGUGGAUGUGUGCACCAUGUAUCUGCAAAAGAAGCUCAAGAUGAUGAUGAUGUCGUGCUUAAGACACUCCUUGUCAAUUCUCAUCCAACUUCAGUUCUUUUUGACCCUACAACAUCUCACUCUUUCAUCUCCGAACGUUAUGCCUCCUUGCAUAACAUUGCUUUUGAAGAUAAGCCCACUCCAUUAGUAAUUCAGGCUCGAGGUUCCAAAUGGCAAACUAAGGCAGUAAGUCAUGGGAACCAAAUCCUUAUUGAUGGUCUAGUAUUCCUUGCUUCCUUGAUACCUCUCAAGACUUCAGACAUCAAUAUCAUUUUGGGGAUGGACUGGUUGACAGCUCAUCAUGCCAAAAUUGAUUGCUUCGCUAGAUCUGUUCAGCUCACCCAUACCUCUGGCCAGUUAGUCAAUGUCUCAUCUAGUAUUUCAAAAUGCCAGAUAUAUGCCCUCAAUGCCAAUCCUCUUCCAGACCUUGAAAACAUCCCGGUAGUCCGUGAUUUUUCCGGACUCUUUCCAGAAGAACUGCCAGGUGUCCCACCUGACAGAGAAGUAGAGUUUGUCAUAGAACUUGUCCCAGGAACUGCUCCAAUUUCUAGAAGACCCUAUAAGAUGUCUCCUCAAGAAUUAGCUGAGCUUAAAACCCAACUUGAUGAAUCUUUGAAGAAAGGUUUCAUCCGUCCUAGUUCUUCUCCUUGGGAUUGCCCUGUCCUCUUCGUCAAGAAGAAGGAUGGUACGAAACGGAUGGUUGUAGAUUAUCGACCGGUUAAUCUGGUCACAAUAAAGAACAAAUAUCCGCUCCCUAGGAUCAACGAUCUGUAUGAUCAGCUCGCUGGAUCUGUAGUCUUUUCCAAGAUGGAUUUGGGAUUAGGUUAUCAUCAAAUCAAAAUUAGGAACAGGGACAUUCCUAAGACGGCCUUUAUUACUCGUUAUGGCCAAUACGAGUACACCGUCAUGUCCUUCGGUAUAACCAAUGCCCAUCCACCUUCUCCCGCUUAAUGAAUUCGAUCUUCAUGGAGUACUUGGACAAAUUCGUUGUGGUUUACCUCGAUGAUAUCCUGAUUUACUCGAAGAACAAAGAAGAACAUGCUGAGCAUCUUAGACUGGUAUUGAUAAAACUUCGAGAGCAUCGCCUUUCCGCCAAAUUCUCUAAGUGUGAAUUAUGGUUACCAGAAGUGACCUAUCUAGGUCACGUAAUCUCUGCGAAAGGUAUUGCUGUCAAUCCCGAGAGAGUUCAGGCCGUUCUUGAUUGGACUCCACCUGAAUCGGUGAAGCAAGUUAGGAGUUUCCUUGGCUUAGCAAGCUAUUGUCGCCGCUUCGUCCAGAACUUCUCCAAAGUUGCCAAACCUCUAACUGAACUCCUCAAGAAAGAUAAGAAGUUCGAGUGGUCCCCACAGUGCCAGGAAAGUUUUCAUAAGUUGAAAAGACGACUGACUACUGCCCCGGUACUUGUGCCCCCAUAUUUCACAAAGGACUUUAUUAUCUACUAUGAUGCCUCGCGUCAAGGACUUGGAUGCAUUCUUAUGCAAGAUCGUCAUCUGAUUGCCUACACAUCUCAACAGUCGCGUGCACAUGAGGAGAAUUAUCCAACAGAUGAUCUGGAACUUGCUGUUGUAGUUUAUGCACUAUUAACCUGGCGACAUUACCUCUUGGGUAAUCGUUGCGAAAUAUACACUGAUCACCAGAGUCUCAAGUAUAUAUUCACCCAACCGGAUUUGAAUCUCAGGCAAAGACGAUGGGUUGAGUUGAUCACGGAUUACGAUUUAGGAAUAUCUUACACCCCAGGAAAAGCCAAUGUUGUCACUACAAGAAAUAAGCUCGUUUAUGACAAAAAAUAAUGACGACGGUUUUAUAGGUCAUAGAUCUAUGACUAAAAUUUACAAAAAGGUCAUGAGGUGUCUAAGAGGGUCCAAACCAUAGAAACUUUUGACCAUCUCUAUCAAGAAGGUCAUAAUCCCGUUGUCCAAAAUGGUCACUGGUAUGUGUAGCUCUAUUUAUGCCCGCAUUGUAGGUCCUACAUGACAAAAUUAAGAAGGUCAUNNNNNNNNNNNNNNNNNNNNNNNNNNNNNNNNNNNNNNNNNNNNNNNNNNNNNNNNNNNNNNNNNNNNNNNNNNNNNNNNNNNNNNNNNNNNNNNNNNNNUUCGUGCGCGUAGGAAAAUUUUUGUUUCCCAUGCGACGUUCCCCAACACACAUUCCCUCCCCCCCCCCGCCGUUAGGUUCUACGUGCUUCAUGGGGCGGCGCCCCAUCGCCCUCGACACCGGCUGGAGCUCCAAGAUGACACCAGGGGUGGCGAGUGGCCUUAUGACCGAUAAGGCUCAUGAAGUGGUGUCCAGGAUCCCCCUUUGGCGCUCGAGCGAUUCCCCAUUCCAUCCCUUUGGUCAUCGCCCCAAGGCGCCCUAAGGCCUCCUGGGGCUCUUUGUGGUGAUAUCGCGCUUCCGUCCGGGCCCCCGAACGAUGGUCGACCGCUGAAAAUGUUUGCCCCUCGGACAGCAAGUCCUUGCUUUCAUGCUCCUUGACACCUAGGGGUGGUGUGGAGCGUUCAGCUCCUCAGAAAAUGUCAUCCAGAAAAGGAGGCUUCAAAGUCGGUGAAACGAGAAAGCGCAAGAUAGAACUCCCCCUUUUUGUUUUUCAAACAACAACUUUUGAAAUCAGCAAAUUUAAGUCCAACAGAGGAUAAUUCAAGCUCCACGAAGAAGCAAGCAAACGCCAUGUCCGACACCUAGGCUAAUCUCCGCCGCCAUCUCCCCCCAGCGCGGAGUAUAGGGCGUCCAAUAGGCGUGGGAGGGACCCCUCCGCGUCCUCGGGGGGCCCCGGGAGUAUGCAACCACAGCUUGUUAUUACAUGAGAGUGUCAAGGGGGUGUAUCUGGGAGGUCGCGAGGACGCUUUGGCCUCGCGAGUGUUCCUACCCCUAAGGCAUAGGCACCUGAUUCCUUUUGGCUGAUCUGCGGGCAUAGUCAUUGGUGGACUGUGUUGAUUUCCUUGCCAGCUGCAGGCAUAGUCAUUUGCGGACUGAGUUGAUUGCCCCCGUCUUCUCCCCAGCGCGGAGCGUAGGGCUGCCACUAGGCGUGGGAGGGACCCGCCCGCGUCCUCGGGGGGCCUGCUGCUAGCAGUCCCUGGCAACGACACUAGAAGAAUGUUGUUGACGUGUUCCUGACUUGAUGCCUCCGCGGCAACAGAUCCAGAACUGCUCCUAGUUGCUCAACAAUUAGCAAUUGUCUUGCAAUGGCCCACCAGCAUGUGGGAUCGCGACAGUUUUUGAGGGUAGAGUAUUCAACCCAAAUUUGUUGGUUCGCCCGUCAGGAAGUGAAAGGAUACUCUCAAGUAUUAGCAACUGAAUGUGUCGGAUUCAACCGCACCUGAAAGAUUAGUAUCUGCAAGCAAAGUAUUAGUAGCAAAGUAGUAUGAUAGCAAUGGUGCCAGAAACGAUCUGUUGACAAGGCAGACUAUUCCUAACGGUUGUAUCAAUGGCGCCAGAAGUUGCCCGUAGACGGGAAAUAGUCUUUUCCCGGCAACGACGAGCGAAAAAGUAUUGUAGCAGGUAGCAGCAGUGUAACGAGUAACAACAGUGGCAAGGAACAGCAGUAGUGACAGCAAUAGCAAGUAGCAAUAGUAGCAAGUAACAGCAGCAGAGCAAAACAAGUAACAACAGCAGCAACAGUAGUAACAGCAGCAGAGCAAAACAAGUAACAACAGCAGUGGGACAAACUCGUAGGCAAUGGGUCGGUGAUUCGUUUGGAUGACAUUCAUCAUGCAACAGUUAUAACACGGAGAGAUAUGUGGCUAGCUCCCGUUCGUCAAUGUGAUGUAGGCAUGCAUUCCGUGUGUAGUCAUACGUGCUUAGGGAAAAGAACUUGCAUGACAUNNNNNNNNNNNNNNNNNNNNNNNNNNNNNNNNNNNNNNNNNNNNNNNNNNNNNNNNNNNNNNNNNNNNNNNNNNNNNNNNNNNNNNNNNNNNNNNNNNNNAAACAUAUAAAAUAUGUGGGGUUGCAACACAAAAUAUAGCCACACAUAAAUGCGAGAUAAAUAACCUAUACACGGGAAAAUAAUCUACCAGCAAACCCUACACGCAAAAAUACCAAUGAACGCUCUAAAAUACAUGGAAAAUAGGUUCCUAAAACAUGAGCAUUUUAUCUAAGGUACUCGAGCAAUCCGGACCGCAAGAAAAAUAAAUACGGGACGAAACCUAUAGAAACAACACGUUAAUCUAGGCAUACGGCACGCUAAACGUCGUCAAACAUUUGUGCAAGUUUUAAAAACGGAUUCUACACGAGAAACUACACGAAAACCAUAUAUUACUCGCUUCGUUCCGACUUACGGAUAAUAAUCUACGGGCGUUUGAAUAUACGUCUAUUUUUCUCGAAUUUAUUAAUUCCUAAAAUUCCUACAUGGGCCGAACUAUUAUAAUGCUACACGGGGNNNNNNNNNNNNNNNNNNNNNNNNNNNNNNNNNNNNNNNNNNNNNNNNNNNNNNNNNNNNNNNNNNNNNNNNNNNNNNNNNNNNNNNNNNNNNNNNNNNNNNNNNNNNNNNNNNNNNNNNNNNNNNNNNNNNNNNNNNNNNNNNNNNNNNNNNNNNNNNNNNNNNNNNNNNNNNNNNNNNNNNNNNNNNNNNNNNNNNNNNNNNNNNNNNNNNNNNNNNNNNNNNNNNNNNNNNNNNNNNNNNNNNNNNNNNNNNNNNNNNNNNNNNNNNNNNGGGGGGGGGGAACGGAGUGCUACCUCGGUUGGGCCGAAGGAGCUGGGCCGAAGGAGGCCGAAGGGGCGAAUCAGCCUGGGCCUCGCGGUGAGGCAGGGGAGGCCUCGGGCAAUGGCUGCUGCUGGGCCUCGUGGGGCGCGCGGCCCACAACGAAGGUCAACGCGCAGGGAACCGGCGUCGUCCUCCUCGCUCCCGUACGAACAACGAAGGAGCGCCAUGGCGAGNNNNNNNNNNNNNNNNNNNNNNNNNNNNNNNNNNNNNNNNNNNNNNNNNNNNNNNNNNNNNNNNNNNNNNNNNNNNNNNNNNNNNNNNNNNNNNNNNNNNUUACUAACAAGCACAAGUAAGUUACACAAACUUACUUGAGCUAUAUCACACGACAAGUAGGUGAACAACACAAGAUACUAGAUCACACUAUAUCACACGAUAUAUCAAGGGCUGCAAGUAUGUACGUGUGAAUAUAGAGGGUAUGCUUGAAUGAUUAAUCUUGUACAAGAAAUGGCCAACACAAUAUAAUGAGCACAAGCAAUAUGCAAUGUAUGUAUGCUCAAAUAACACAAGUAAACCACAAGUAAGGAGUUAGGGUUAAGGAUAACCAAGGUCACUGAGACGAAGAUGUAUCCCGAUGUUCACUUCCUUGGAGGGAAGCUAGUCACCGUUAGAGAGGUGGAUGUUACCACGAAGGCACACCAACGCCACGAAGGCUCACCCUAUUCUCCCUUUGAGAUAACACCACGAAGGCGUUUCUCAACCACUAGUGGUAAGCCUUUGAGGUGGCUUCCAAACCCUCACAAACUUUUCUGGGGGAAAUCACACGGAUUGAUUCCUCUCCGAAGAACUCCUACCGCCUAGGAGUCUCCAACCUCCAAGAGUAACAAGAUCACGGGGAAUGCUCAAAACUUGCUCAAAUCACAAAUAGCUUGGGUUGAGAGAAGGAGAAGGAGAAGAUCUAUCUUUUGAUUGGAACAACUCUCAAAGGGGCUCACAAAUGCUCUUGGGAUCUAAGAUUUGGAGUGAGCAAAUGUGUGUGAGGUGGAAAUGUGUUCUUAUGAGGAUAAGGCUAUGUUAGACCAACACUCUCACGAAGUGGGAGGGGGGUAUUUAUAGAGCGGAGAGAAAAAGAGUCGUUGGGGACACUUUAAGUCACACAGGGUCCGGACGUCCGACAGUUGUCGGAAGUCCGGGCGAUCGCGAGGGGUCGGACGUCCGACAGGGGUCGGUCGUCCGGGGCCUGUAGAUACGACUGAAACUAUUUUGAAUUAAACAGCGACCGGACGUCCGACAGGGGUCGGUCGUCCGAGGCCUGUAGGUGUGCCUGAACAUAUUUGAAUUCAUCAGUAUACGGACGUCCGGAGUGGCCCGGAAGUCCGUGUUAUACAACACAAGUUCUACUAGUGGUGGCUUCUGGAUUUCCGAUGAGUGUCGGACAUCNNNNNNNNNNNNNNNNNNNNNNNNNNNNNNNNNNNNNNNNNNNNNNNNNNNNNNNNNNNNNNNNNNNNNNNNNNNNNNNNNNNNNNNNNNNNNNNNNNNNNNNNNNNNNNNNNNNNNNNNNNNNNNNNNNNNNNNNNNNNNNNNNNNNNNNNNNNNNNNNNNNNNNNNNNNNNNNNNNNNNNNNNNNNNNNNNNNNNNNNNNNNNNNNNNNNNNNNNNNNNNNNNNNNNNNNNNNNNNNNNNNNNNNNNNNNNNNNNNNNNNNNNNNNNNNNNNNNNNNNNNNNNNNNNNNNNNNNNNNNNNNNNNNNNNNNNNNNNNNNNNNNNNNNNNNNNNNNNNNNNNNNNNNNNNNNNNNNNNNNNNNNNNNNNNNNNNNNNNNCUACUGGUGCAGGCUUCCGGAUUUCCGGGACUUGGCCAGACAUCCGGUCCUCGGACGUCCGGAGGGAGCCGGAAGUCCGAGUUAAAUGGCUCUGAUUUCUAUGGUAUAGGAUUCCGGAUUUCCGAGGUAGUCGGUCGUCCGGCCCUUGGACGUCCGGAGGAAGCNNNNNNNNNNNNNNNNNNNNNNNNNNNNNNNNNNNNNNNNNNNNNNNNNNNNNNNNNNNNNNNNNNNNNNNNNNNNNNNNNNNNNNNNNNNNNNNNNNNNCUAUUCUCCCUUUGAGACAACACCACGAAGGCGUUUCUCAACCACUAGUGGUAAGCCUUUGAGGUGGCUUCCAAACCCUCACAAACUUUUCGAGGGGAAAUCACACGGAUUGAUUCCUCUCCGAAGAACUCCUACCGCCUAGGAGUCUCCAACCUCCAAGAGUAACAAGAUCAUGGGGAAUGCUCAAAACUUGCUCAAAUCACAAAUAGCUUGGGUUGAGAGAAGGAGAGGGAGAAGAUCUAUCUUUUGAUUGGAACAACUCUCAAAGGGGCUCACAAAUGCUCUUGGGAUCUAAGAUUUGGAGUGAGCAAAUGUGUGUGAGGUGGAAAUGUGUUCUUAUGAGGAUAAGGCUGUGUUAGGCCAACACUCUCACGAAGUGGGAGGGGGUAUUUAUAGAGUGGAGAGAAAAAGAGCCGUUGGGGACACUUUAAGUCACACAGGGUCCGGAUGUCCGACAGUUGUCGGAAGUCCGGGCGACCGCGAGGGGUCGGACGUCCGACAGGGGUCGGUCGUCCGGGGCCAGUAGAUACGGCUGAAACUAUUUUGAAUUAAACAGCGACCGGACGUCCGACAGGGGUCGGUCGUCUGAGGCCUGUAGGUGUGCGUGAACAUAUUUGAAUUCAUCAGUCUACGGACGUCCGGGGUGGCCCUGGAGUCCGUGUUAUACAGCACAAGUUCUACUGGUGGUGGCUUCCGGAUUUCUGAUGAGUGUCGGACAUCNNNNNNNNNNNNNNNNNNNNNNNNNNNNNNNNNNNNNNNNNNNNNNNNNNNNNNNNNNNNNNNNNNNNNNNNNNNNNNNNNNNNNNNNNNNNNNNNNNNNNNNNNNNNNNNNNNNNNNNNNNNNNNNNNNNNNNNNNNNNNNNNNNNNNNNNNNNNNNNNNNNNNNNNNNNNNNNNNNNNNNNNNNNNNNNNNNNNNNNNNNNNNNNNNNNNNNNNNNNNNNNNNNNNNNNNNNNNNNNNNNNNNNNNNNNNNNNNNNNNNNNNNNNNNNNNNNNNNNNNNNNNNNNNNNNNNNNNNNNNNNNNNNNNNNNNNNNNNNNNNNNNNNNNNNNNNNNNNNNNNNNNNNNNNNNNNNNNNNNNNNNNNNNNNNNNNNNNNNNNNNNNNNNNNNNNNNNNNNNNNNNNNNNNCUACUGGUGCAGGCUUCUGGAUUUCCGGGACUUGGCCGGACAUCCGGUCCUCGGACGUCCGGAGGGAGCCGAAAGUCCGAGUUAAAUGGCUCUGAUUUCUCUCGUAUAGGAUUCCGGAUUUCCGAGGUAGUCGGUCGUCCGGCCCUCGGACGUCCGGAGGAAGCNNNNNNNNNNNNNNNNNNNNNNNNNNNNNNNNNNNNNNNNNNNNNNNNNNNNNNNNNNNNNNNNNNNNNNNNNNNNNNNNNNNNNNNNNNNNNNNNNNNNCUAUUGUCCAUCCCUCCCGUGGCAGCGGGGUCCAAAAGGAUACUACGGGAUAUUAAGGUUCUCCUUUUAAUAAAGAACCAAAACAACACAUUAGCACUUGGUGAACACAUGAACUCCUCAAACUAUGGUCAUCACCGGGAGUGGUUCCGGUUAUUGUCACUCCGGGGUUGCCGGGUCAUAACACAAAGUAGGUAACUACAACUUGCAAGAUCGGAUCUAAAACACACAUAUAUUGGUGACAACAUAAUAAUUUCAGAUCUGAAAUCAUAGCACUCGGGCCCUAGUGACAAGCAUUAAGCAUGGCAAAGUAGUAGCAACAUCAAUCUGAGAACAUAGUAGAUACUAGGGAUCAAUCCCCGUCAAAACUAGCUCGAUUACAUGAUAGAUCUCAUCCUACUCAUCACCACCCAGCGAGCCUACAAAUAGAUUACUCACGAACGAUGAAGAGCUUCAUGGAAUUGGAGAGGGAAGAAGGUUGAUGAUGACGAUGGCGACGAUUUCCCCUCUCCGGAGCCCGAAACGAACUCCAGAUCUGCCCUCGAGAUGAAGAACAGGAUGUGGCGGCGCCUUUGUAUCGCAAACGCGAUGAAAUGUUCUCUCUUGAUUUUUUUCUGAACGAAAGUGAAUUUUUAGAGCUGGAGUUGGGGGCGGCAGACCCACGUGGGCCCCACAAGCUUGGUUGCCGCGGCCAGGGGGGCCGCGACAACAGGGCUUGUGGCCCACUGGCCCAUCCCCUCUGGUGGAUCUUUGUGCAGGUAUUUUUCAUAUUUUCUAGAAAUAUUCUCUGUAAAUUUUCAGGACGUUCCGAGAACUUUCAUUUCUGCACAAAACAACACCAUGGCAAUUCUGCUGAAAACAGGGUCAGUCUGGGUUAGUUCCAUUCAAAUCAUGCAAAUUAGAGUCCAAAACAAGGGCAAAAGAGUUUGGAAAAGUAGAUACGAUGGAGACGUAUCAACUCCCCCAAGCUUAAAACCUUGCUUGUCCUCAAGCAACUCAGUUGACAAACUGAAAGAGAAAGAAAAACUUUGACAAACUCUGUUUGAUCUUGUUGUUGCAACUAUGUCUAACUCAUAACCAGAAUUUCAGCAAGAUCACAAGUUAACCACAUAAGCAAGUGACACAAAGGUCUCACGGUAAACUAAUAUCAAUGGCAUAAUCAGCUAGCGAGCAAAUAAUAAUGAGUUUCAGAUACCAACCAUUCAAUCAAAACAAGCAUGAAGCAAUAUGAAUAGGUGGUAUCUCGCUAGCUGUUUCUGAGACCGCAAAACAUAAACGCACAGCACUUUCAAAGAUCAAGGGCUGACUAAACAUUGUAAUUCAUAGCAACGAAGAUCCAGUCAUAGUCAUACUCAAUAUCAAUCAAAAGCAAAGCAUAAAAAUGACAGAGGUGCUCUCUAAUUGGUGCUUAAAUAAGAAGAGGAUGACUCAACAGGAAAAUAAAUAGACAGGCCCUUCGCAGAGGGAAGCAUUGAUUUGCAGAGGUGCCAGAGCUCAAGCUUUGAAAACAGAGAUAAUAAUUUUGGGUGGCAUACUUUCAUUGUCAACGCAAUGACCAAGAGUUCUCAAUAUCUUCCAUGCUACUCAUGCUAUAGGCGGUUCCCAAACAGAAAAGUAAAGUUUUAACUCCCCCACCACCAAUCAAUCACACUCCAUGGCUAGCCGAAUCCUCGGGUAUCGUCCAUACUAACAUCAAUUCGGGGGGAGUCUUGUUUUACAGUUAUGUUUUCGAUUUAAGCGUGGAACUAGGCAUUCCAAUUACCGACCCCUUUCUCGUGAAUGACAGUGAAUAAACACAUGUCGAGGAUAACACGCCUAACAUGGAAGAUACCAAUAGCCCCCUGUCACCACAUGAGCGGUUCGGGCAUGCAAAACAUAUUAUUUCUUGAAGGUUUAGAGAAUGGCACAUGCAAAUUUACUUGGAACGGCAGGUAGAUACCGCAAAUAGGUAGGUAUGGUGGACUCUCAUGGAAAAACUUUUGGGUUUAUGGAAGUGGAUGCACAAGCAGUAUUCCGCUUAGUACAAGUGAAGGCUAGCAAAAGACUGGGAAGCGACCAACUAGAGAGCGACAACAGUCAUCAAGAUGCAAUGAGUUUGACUAACAUGGAGUGCAAGCAUGAAUAGGAUAUAAAUCACCAUGAACACGAACAUCAUAGAGGCUAUGUUGAUUUUGUUUCAACUACAUGCAUGAACAUGCGCCAAGUCAAGCCACUUGAAUCAUUCAAAGGAGAAUACCAUCCUAUCAUACUACAUCAUAGUCAUCUCAAAAUCUAUGUUGGCAUUCAAGACAAACCAUUAUAAGCUCCUAGCUAAAUAAGCAUGGCAUCAGAAACUAUGAUCUCUAAGUUGUCAUUGCAAACAUGGUUCUCUCACAACAAAGCUGAAUCUGGGACGACAAGCUAGUCAUAUUUACAAAAACAAAAUAGAUAGAGUUCAUACCAGCUUUUCCAGUCUCAGUCACUUCAUCAUAUAUCAUCAUUAUUGCCUUUCACUUGCACGAUCUAAUGAUGUGAACAAUAAUAAGAGUGCUCGUGCAUUGGACUAAGCUGAAAUCUGCACGCAAACACAAAGGAGAAGACAAAGUAAUAUGGCUCUUUGAAAGCUAAACAGGUAUGCAUGCGAGAGCCACUAAACAUUGUAACCAAUAUCUUCUACCUUGACCCAAAGAAAAAGAAAACUAUUUACAUGGGAAAGCUCCCAACAAGCAAAAAGAAGAAAGGAAAAUCUUUUUGGGUUUUCUCAAAAGGACAAAAAGAAGAAAAAAAAGAAAACAAAAAUAAACUAGCAUGGAUAAUACAGUGGCAAAGUGUGAACACCGACGAACAAAGUGAAAGCAUAAGCAUGAAUGUAAGGUCGGUGAGAACACGUACUCCCCCAAGCUUAGGCUUUUGGCCUAGCUUGGUCUACUCCCAAGGCGGGAAAUAACCAGCUCUGGGGUACUCCGGAGCGGACUGUGGAUGCCAGUGCUGUGUGAGCUCCUUUGGCUCCCACUGAUAAACUGGCGUCUGGUACUCGACUGGCGGCUCGGGCACGGGCACCUGUGGUUGGGCUAAGCCCCAAUAUGCGUAGAUGUCCGAGGGCAUAAUAGUGUACAUGCCUACAUGAAGAUCGAACAAAGAAGGAGCAGACAAAGUAAUAGUCUCUCGAGUACCCUGACUAAAUAUCAGGUUAUAAAUCAUCCGUCUACUAGCAUCUCUAUCUAGAAAAUCAUGGUGAACCAUGCUGUCAUAAUCCAGAUAUUUCUCAGGAAGAAGCAUCUCUUCUUCCUUACGAAGUCUAAUAGGUAUCUCAAAGUGUCUAGCAAGACGAGUAGCAUAGGUACCUCCAUAGACGACACCUUUGGAACGGUUUGUGUUCAAUUGCUGAGCUACUAUAGCACCUAGGCUAUAAGUCUUAGUGCUAUAAAGGCCUUCGCGCAAAAUAGCAAGGUCUAGAGAGCUAAGUGAUCCAGCCUCCUCACGGCCAAUCAAACAUUUUCCCACAAAUAAUGAGAAGUACCGAAGCACACAAAAAUGUAUGCUAGCAAUUCUAGCGCGAGACACUCCUCUCUCCUCUCCAACAACAAUAGUACCUAUGAAAUCCUCCAAGUCCCGUGGACAAGGAUCAUGAAUACCCCCAACAUAGGGUAAUUUGCAUGCAUUGCAAAAAUCAUGUAGUGUCAUGCACUGGGGGAUAUCGUACAAGAUGAACUCAACCAUGGGAGGAUUCUUCCUCGGAUAAAAGUUGAAGCUUUGAAUGAAAAUAUUGGUGAGGAGGAGGUAUUGUGAGCACUUAUCUUCAACGAACGCGGUAAGACCCGCGUUCUCCACCAAGUAAUAAAAGUCUUCAUAAAGCCUGGCGGUGCGCAAAAAUUCAUCACUUGGCCACUCGCACGCUCGAACUUCUGUGACUCGAGGAACCACAUACUUGGGGUGGUUCUUCUCAUCCUCCUUGGGGUUACGGCUUGAAGAGCCUCUCAAGAACCUCCUCAUCUUUUUUCCUUUUCUAGCUCUGAAAAAUUCUGAAUUUUUUAGAGACUUCGAAAGAAAGGUGAAUAAAGAUUAACCCAACUCGUAGCAACUACUCCUACUAGUGCCUAGAGACCGUAUCGCGCGCUAAAACUACUUGGGACCAGCUAAAAUCAACAUUUCAAGCUCAAAAACAGGGUCACCAAGGUAGUAAGAAUACGCGAAGGCUAAAGCACUAGAGCAAAAACUAAUUGGACCAAUGGAGGAGUCACUUACCAAGGAGUAAUUUCCCUAAAACGGUUUGGAGAAUGAUGCUUUGAACAAGGAGAUCGACAAUCACAGCCAAAUGAGCAAGAACACGGGUUUGAGCUGCGAAACGAUUUUUUCUGGAGGUAGAGGAAGAGGAUGGGAGCUGGAAUGAGUGGAGGGGGCCCGUGUAGGCCCCACAAGCUUGCUUGCCGCGGCCAGGGGGUGGCCGCGGUGACAGGGCAUGUGGCCCACUGGUGUGGCCCCCACGCCAGCUCUCAGUCCCAGUAUUUUUCAAAUAUUCCAGAAAAAAUCAUACUAGAUUUUCAGGACCAUCGGAGAACUUUUAUUUUCGGGGUAUUUUUCUCCGGGACGCUAAGACAGAAAACCGGAAAAACUAAACUAAAUCUAUCAUUUUUCUUCUAAGAAAAAGAAAGUGAAAGCUUAAAACAGAGGUAUGUGAGUCUUUGAUUCAUCCAUUUCAUGGUCAUCAAAAGAAAUCCGUCAAUGGGGUUGAUCAAAUCCUCAUGACAAAACUUUAUUGAAUCGCAAAAGAGAACGGAGAAUUUUCGAAUAGCCACUAAGUUACCUCAAUGGGGAUGUGAAUCUCCCCAACAAGCAAAUCAUACUUCAUCUUGACAUGAGGAAUAGGGCAUUCAAAGCUCCCAAUAAGAAUCGAUGAAGUUUUUUCGAUAGCAUUGAUGCAAUGUACUUGAUAUCUUUUCUUCGGAAAGUGCACUGUAUGCUCAUUACCGUUGACAUGGAAAGUGACAUUGCCUUUGUUAAAACCUAUAACAGCCCUUGCAGUGUUUAAAAAGGGUCUUCCGAGGAUGAUAGCCAUGGCAUCAUCCUCGGGAAUAUCCAAGAUAACAAAGUUUGUUAAGAUAGUGGUGUUAGCAACCACAACAGGCACAUCCUCGCAAAUGCCGACAGGGAAAGCAGUUGAUUUGUCGGCCAUUUGCAGAGAGAUUUCAGUGGGUGUCAACUUAUCCAGUUCAAGUCUACGAUAAAGAGAGAGAGGCAUAACACUAACUCCGGCUCCAAGGUCACAUCAGGCAGUUCUUAUGUAGUUUCCUUUAAUGGAGCAAGGUAUAGUAGGCACUCCGGGAUCACCAAGUUUCUUAGGAGUUCCACCUUUGAAAGUGUAAUUUGCAAGCAUGGUGGAGAUCUCAAGAUCUGGUAUCUUCCGUUUAUUAGUCACGAUAUCUUUCAUGUACUUGGCAUAUGGAGACAUUUUGAGCAUAUCAACUAACCGCAUCUGCAGAAAGACGGGUCUUAUCAUUUCAGUAAAGCGCUCAAAAUCCUCAUCAUCUUUUUUUCUUGGACGGCUUAGGAGGAAAGGGCAUAGGUCUCUGAACCCAUGGCUCCCUUUCUUUACCAUGCAUCCUAGCAGUGAAGUCAUUCUUAUCGUAUCUCUUAGGUUGUGGGUUAUCAGGAUUAACCGUAGGUUCAAUCUCCACAUCCUUAUCAUUGCUAGGUUGAGCAUCAUUAUGAACAUCGUUGUCCAUAUUUUCACUAGGUUCAUGUUCAUCACCAGAUUGUGUUUCUGCAUCAGACGCAGAAAUAUCAUUUGGUUCUUGAGGUGUGACAGUAUUUGGUGGACUAACAUGCAGGUUUCUAUCAUCCUUCUUCUUCUCCUUAGGAUGACCGGGUGCAUCAACAUUAAUUCCUUGAGAAUCUUGAUCAAUUCUCUUAGGAUGACCCUCAAGAUACAAAGGUUCCCGAGUCAUUUUGCCUCCUCUAGUAAUGAAUCUGACAGAGUUGUCAUUUAAUUCAUUGAGCAGGUCAUUCUGAGCUUUAAGUACUUGUUAUACCUGAGUAGUAAUCAUAGAGGCAUGUUUACUCAGAAGCUUCAGAUCAUUGACAUUUCUGUCUACACAAGCACUUAAAUGACUAAGCAUACGAGUACUUUGUUCCAAAUGUCUGCUAACAUAAUCAUUGAAACUCUGUUGUUUGGCAACAAAGUUGUCAAAUUCAUCAAAGCAUAGGCUAGCAGGUUUAUCAAAAGGAAUAUCACUCUCAUCAAACCUACGUAGAGAAUUUACUUCUACUACCUGUAUCGGGUUAUCGAGACCAUGGAUCUCUUCGAUAGGUGGUAGAUUUUUGACAUCUUCAGAUCUAAUGCCUUUCUCUUGCAUAGAUUUCUUGGCUUCUUGCAUAUCUUCGGCACUGAGGAAUAGAAUACCUCUUUUCUUAGGAGUUGUCUUAGGAGGUGGUUCGGGAAUAGUCCAAGCAUUAUCGUUGAUCAAGAUGUUAUUCAGUAGGAUCUCGGCUUGUUCUAUAAUUUGUUCCUUAAAAACACAACCGACACAACUAUCUAGGUGGUCUCUAGAAGCAUCGGUAAGUCCGUUAUAGAAGAUAUCAAGUAUCUCGUUCUUCUUAAGAGGGUGAUCAGGCAAAGCAUUCUGUAGCUGGAUGAGCCCCCCCAAGCUUGUGGGAGACUCUCUUCUUUGAGUUGAGCAAAGUUAUAUAUUUCCUGCAAGGCAGCUUGCUUCUUAUGGGCAGGGAAAUAUUUCUCACAGAAGUAAUAGACCAUAUCCUGGGGACUACUCACACAUCCAGGAGCAACAUAAGUGAACCAGGCUUUAGCGUCAUCAUUUAGAGAGAAAGGAAACAACUUAAGGAUAUAGUAGUAGCGGAUCUUCUCCUCACUAGUGAAAAGGGUGGCUAUAUCGUGUAGUUUGGUAAGAUGGGCUACGACCGUCUCAGACUCAUAACCGUGGAAAGGAUCAGAUUCGACUAGAGAGAUUAUCUCAGGAUCGACAGAGAAUUCAUAAUCCUUAUCGGUGAUAAAGAUAGGUGAAGUGGCAAACUUCGGGUCAUAUUUCAUCCUAGCUUUCAGAGAUUUUUCCUUCCACUUGAGAAUUAAUUUCUCAGCGUCAUAGGCAUCCUUACACGCAAGAAAAUCUUCAGCUAUCUCUCCCUCCAUAACAUAACCCUCAGGUAUAUCAGGCAAUUCAUAUCUAGGAGAGCUAGAUCUAGCAGGAGCAAAAGCAGGUUCUAUCUCAAUAGUAUCGGCAGUUUCAGAAGCAUCACGAGCAUUGGCAGUAACUCUAGCAAUAUGAGCAUCAAGGAAUACCCCUAGUGGCACAUCAGGCAAAGUAGUAUCUCUAGCAGUAUCAAGCAUAGCAUCAUCAGGCAAAAUAGCAUCUCUAGCAUCAUCAAGCAAAGCAGUAUCAGGCAUAGUAGCAUCAUAAGCAUCAUCAAGCACAUGCGACAUAUCAAGAUUUCUUGCAGGAGGUGAUGUCGCAAACUUACUCAUAACUGAAGGUGAAUCAAGUGCAGAGCUAGAUGGCAGUUCCUUACCUCCCCUCGUAGUUGAGGGCAAGACUUUGGUUCUAGGAUCUUUCAGAUUCUUCAUAGUGAUCAGCAGAUAUAAAUCCCAAGUGACUGAGAGAAUAUAACAAUCCUUCCCUGGCAACGAUGUCAGAAAAAGCUGCUGCUAGCAGUCCCCAGCAACGACACUAGAAGAAUGUUGUUGACGUGUUCCUGACUUGAUGCCUCCGCGGCAACAGAGCCAGAACUGCUCCCAGUUCCUCAACAAUUAGCAAUUGUCUUGCAAUGGCCCACCAGCGUGUGGGAUCACGACAUUUUUCGAGGGUAGAGUAUUCAACCCAUUUUUUUGGUUCGCCCGUCAGGAAGUGAAAGGAUACUCUCAAGUAUUAGCAGCUGAAUGUGUCGGAUUCAACCGCACCUGAAAGAUUAGUAUCUGCAAGCAAAGUAUUAGUAGCAAAGUAGUAUGAUAGCAACGGUGCCAGAAAUGAUCUGUUGACAAGGAAGACUAUUCCUAACGGUUGUAUCAAUGGCACCAGAAGUUGCCCGUAGACGGGAAAUAGUCUUUUCCCGGCAACGGCGAGCGAAAAAGUAUUGUAGCAGGUAGCAGCAGUGUAACGAGUAAUAGCGGUGGCAAGGAACAACAGUAGUGAUAGCAGUAGCAAGUAGGAACAGUAGCAAGUAACAGCAGCAGAGCAAGUAGCAGCAGAGCAAAACAAGUAACAACAGCAGCAACAAUAGUAACAGCAACAGAGCAAAACAAGUAACAACAGCAGUGGGACAAACUCGUAGGCAAUGGGUCGGUGAUUCGUUNCUAUUGUCCAUCCCUCCCAUGGCAGCGGGGUCCAAAAGGAUACUACGGGAUAUUAAGGUUCUCCUUUUAAUAAAGAACCGGAACAAUGCAUUAGCACUUGGUGAACACAUGAACUCCUCAAACUAUGGUCAUCACCGGGAGUGGUUCCGAUUAUUGUCACUCUGGGGUUGUCGGGUCAUAACACAUAGUAGGUAACUACAACUUGCAAGAUCGGAUCUAAAACACACAUAUAUUGGUGACAACAUAAUAAUUUCAGAUCUGAAAUCAUGGCACUCGGGCCCUAGUGACAAGCAUUAAGCAUGGCAAAGUAGUAGCAACAUCAAUCUCAGAACAUAGUGGAUACUAGGGAUCAAUCCCCGUCAAAACUAACUCGAUUACAUGAUAUAUCUCAUCCUACUGAUCACCGCCCAGCGAGCCUACGAAUAGAUUACACACGAACGAUGAAGAGCUUCAUGGAAUUGGAGAGGGAAGAAGGUUGAUGAUGACGAUGGCGACGAUUUCCCCUCUCCGGAGCCCGAAACGGACUCCAGAUCUGCCCUCCAGAUGAAGAACAGGAUGUGGCGGCGCCUCCGUAUCGCAAACGCGAUGAAAUCUUCUCUAUUGAUUUUUUUCUGGACGAAAGUGAAUUUAUAGAGCUGGAGUUGGGGGCGGCAGACCCACGUGGGCCCCACAAGCUUGGGUGCCAUGGCCAGGGGCGCAACAAUAGGGCUUGUGGCCCACUGGCCCAUCCCCUCCGGUGGAUCUUUGUGCAGGUAUUUUUCAUAUUUUCCAGAAAUAUUCUCCGUAAAUUUUCAGGACGUUCCGAGAACUUCCAUUUCUGCACAAAAACAACACCAUGGCAAUUCUGCUGAAAACAACGUUAGUCUGGGUUAGUUCCAUUCAAAUCAUGCAAAUUAGAGUCCAAAACAAGGACAAAAGAGUUUGGAAAAGUAGAUACGAUGGAGACGUAUCAGGGCCCCAGACGUAUAUAGCCGCAACUCGUUAUUAUGUGAGAGUGUCACGGAUUGAAGUAGGUUUUGGAAGGAUUGAAGGACGAUGCAGAGGUGUCAUGGGUUGAUGCAGGUCCCGUGGGGGCUGUAGAGCGAACGCGAGGGUGCUUUGGCCUCAUGAUGUUUCUUCCUUGGGGGCGUCUUCCCCUGAUCCCUUUUGUAGAUGGGGCCCUUCGAGGCCCUACCAGCUCCUUCUCCUGAGACUGGUUGAGGGCUUUUCUAUGGCUCUACGUCGAUAGGUCCCAGUCCUGCACAUUUCCCAACCGCUGUUGCAUACGACCGAAUGACGAACGCAGCUACGGGGUCGAGCCCUACCACCCCUGGGUCUUAUGACAGGCGGACGAGAUCAAGGGUGGCAGGUGGCCUUAUGACCGGCAAGGCUCCUGAGGCUCGGUGCUCAGGAGACCCCUUUGACGUUCGAGCGGCUCUACGUCGCCAAGACCCGUCUCGCACAUUUCCCAACCGCCGUUGCUUGCGAUCGAAUGGACGAACGCGGCUACGGGGUCAAGUCGUGCCACCCCUGAUAACGACCGAAUGUCCAUGGACGGCAUCAAGGGUGGCAGGUGGCCUUAUGACUGGUAAGGCUCUUGAGGCUCGAUGCUCAGGAGCCCCCUUUUGACGCUCAAGCGGCCCCCAUUUCAUCAUGUUGAUUGUGGCCUUGGGAAGCCGUGGGGCCUCCCCAGGUCCCGUGACAGGGCGACGCUCACCGGCCGGAGCCCCCGAGCGGGAGGGGGGGUAGAUCGCCCAAAGAUGCAAGCAAGGUAAGAUGUCAGAUCGCCGAAUGGAUGCAGCAGAAGUUAUGGAACCAUGCAUAAAUGAUAUGAUGGGCACAGGUUGCCCUGAGCGUUUGAAGUUCAUGAGGCCAGCAGACACCCCCUAGAGCAGUGAACCCAAAAAAUUACCUUGCAUAGGUUCUUUGUGCCUGAGGGGCACCUCGUGAGGCCCGACCCUUGGCGCCCGCACCAGCACCGUAGUCGCCGCGUGUGACCCGUGCCGCUUGUGUCUCGUUGCUUCAUGUGACUCGUCCUCCUGAGGCCGAGGACAUGGUUCUUCACAGUUUCUCCACAGGGGCGGUGGCUGGCGUCAUGCCCCGCAGCAUGGGGGCGUCUCCCUGCCCGUGCCUCUUGGUCCUAGUACUCCGCCAGUCGGAGCCCUAGGGUCCGGCUCAAGGGGGACCCUAGAGUGUUCCUUACUCCUGAGGAGGACUGGCGCCUGGGGUGGACGCUUGAGGAUCUUCCUCGAUGGAAGGGUCAGGUGGUGUUACAUAACACGAUAUGUGAGGCUCUACGUAGGCGUUCGACCGACCUCCAAGGCUGUUCAGCAGUGCGACGAUGGCGGUCCCUCUCCGCGGCGGGGGAAGGCCCCCCAGUCGCGCUACUCGGAGAUCUUCUUGCGAUGGGCCUCCGCACAAAGUCGCUUGCUCCUGAUGCCACUAUUGGGUGGUCCCGGCAUUGCCCGGUGCAGACUCCCCCCUUGGUACCUUGGCGUGUCUCCAUCGUCGUAGUUCACCCGUGCCGACGCCUCCGCCACCCGCUGGCUGCGCCUGAGCGAGCGCUCCCACUUGGCCGCCCCUGGUUGUCGGGGGCCGACCUGGUUUUGGUAAUGCGCACCGGUGUGUGCAUUGAAUGUCAUGUCGUUCUCUUCGCGCCCCUGGUGGUUGCCGGCAUGUUGCACCUCGAGGCCGGCCACCGGAAUCUGGAGGAGGGGGAGGGCAGCAUGCGACGCGUCUCUAUCAGCCCCGCCCAGUGCAAGAGGGGCCCCGUCGCUUGCAGGCCUGGGGACCGGCACGAGGUGCGGGUCCCUGGAGCCCGGCGCUUGCGACCUUGAAGAAGAGUGGGGUCGGAUGGCCUUCUGGGCGAUGGCGAUCAACUCCAUGAUGUGGUCCGCCCAAGCGUUGAAGCCCCCUUGCGUCGGUCGAUAGCGGAGCAUCUCGCUCGCCAUCUGCAACGCAUCAUGCGUGCUGAGGUCCUCCAAGUUGACGCAACGCGUUGUGGAUGUCGGGGGCGCCACCCAGCCGCCGCGUGUUGUGGAUGCCGGGGGCGCCGCUGUGCGUCGUGGAUGCCGGUGGAUAUGAUGUUGACGAACUGGUACGAGCCGCCUGGUACCACAACGCCGGUAGAUGUGCUUUCGGCCGCUUUGGUAUGACGGUUGGAAGCCAGCUCGACGAGGCUCGAAGAAGCUUGUUGGGCAUCGGUCAUCGGAGCAGCGGGGCUUAGGGAAGAUGAAGCCGCAGAAGAUCUUGACACGCUCCGUAGUUGGUGCUCCAAAUGUUGGAUUUCAGGGUGUGCAAAACCCUAAAGAUUUGAACUCACACGCGUGUACGAAGAUCUCUCACGGGGUCGCCUCACCUAACUCGCUACUCGCUGGGGAUGGCACAGAACUCACUCGAUGUUGAGAAAGACACAAAACACGGCAGUUUACCCAGGUUCGGGCUGCUGAGAAGCGUAAUACCGUACUCCUGCUUUGGUGGAUUGCCUCUCGUGGAGGUUGGUGGAUGAACUAGUAUAGUGUUCGAGGGCCUCCAGAGGCUGGGUGGCGUUUGUGUGGUGCCAGUGGGCAAAUGAAUGGAUCGGAUCCCCCUAUGAAGUAACCUACUCUCUUUAUAUAUAGCAGCGGCCCCGGUCUUGUUCCCUUAUCGUUUUGGCAGGAAGGGAUCCCACAACAACCAAUUUUCAAGGGGGACAGGGGAACAUGCUUCCCUUGUCCAAAAGUAGUCUUCACGUGCAAAGUGGUUGUCAACGCAGCAAAGACGGGUCUAGGGAUGACGUCCGUCCUGCUAGCAGGCGGUGGUGGCCUUGUUGCACCAGAAUGGAAACCUUUGGGAGAUGUCUUGGAGACCAACGUGCGUCCUCGCCCCCUUUGCAUUAAAGGAGGAACUGCACCGUCCUGCUGUCUCCUGCUCGCCUGUCCUUCCCCCAUGUCAUCGUUGACUCCUGAGGCGAGGCCUCGCCUCAGAAUAUCCGCUGCUCCGGAGGAGUCCUGAGGAGCCCCCCUGCGGGCCUUACUAUUGUUCCUCCUCGCUAGGCUUAGCCCCUCGCGAGGGCCUUGCCUUGAGUGGUGCUGGUCUUGUUGGUCUUUGGUUGAUGAAGUGGGCCAACCCUGGGCCACACGUAGGCAGGUCUAGGUACCCCCAUUCCGAGAACGCCGACAGUACCAAAGUUGGGCCUUGUCGGACCAGUUUUAAUCUAAGACGAAUUAUCAAGGGGGUCCCCAUAACAACCCCGAUCAUGUUAGGAGCGCUCAAUAAUGGAAUAUAACACCGGUAGCCGAAACUAGGGCGACAAAGAUGGAACAAAACACCAGGCUAGAAAGGCCGAGCCUUUCACCUUUUACCAAGUAUAUAGGUGCAUUAAAUUAAAUAGCACUAAUAUGGUGAUAUAACAAGGAACCCAUGUUUUCACAUGGAAGCAGCUGCAUCUGCAACUAGCAACGCUAACACAAGGUUAAGCAAGCGGUAACAUAUGCAAUCAUUGGUUUGCUAGGUUGUACAAAGGUUGAAGGUUUCAUGGCAAUGUUGAGAGGCUGACAUAUAACAGGUGGUAGGCAAUGAGACAUAAUGAAAGAAACGAGACAACUAGCAUGGCAUUGAUAGUAAUGGUAUCUAGGUAAAUGGUCAUCUUGCCUGAGAUUCCGCUUGGAAGAUGAUCGACUCCGUGAAGCACACGAAACGAUGUAGUCGAAAGAAUCCUCACACUCUGAAGCGGUUCAGAACACUUCCGAGUAGAAGCAAACCGGAAACAAGAAUCAGCACACAAUAUUCACCACGACACAUUCAUGAUAUGAAGCACAACCAAAUAUGAUGCAUGUCCAUUUCAAUUAUGCAAGGCAUGACAAUUCACAACAAUCAAACAC
Molecule: long non-coding RNA, 66987 nt
Filed under: Hordeum vulgare
Lineage: Eukaryota; Viridiplantae; Streptophyta; Magnoliopsida; Poales; Poaceae
Description: long non-coding RNA (HVUL_LNC010065)
Source: RNAcentral